RNAcentral lists this long non-coding RNA (81193 nucleotides) under Podarcis lilfordi (Lilford's wall lizard). The record is from RNAcentral. Lineage: Eukaryota; Metazoa; Chordata; Lepidosauria; Squamata; Lacertidae.
UCUGAAAUGAUUUCGCUUCCAUCUCAGUCGGUGCGACUGCUGGAAAGAAGGCUGGAGGACAGCAAGAGCGGAAGAAAGCCUCAACCAGGCUGAUUAAAGUCUUCCCUCUGAACUACAAUGCUGUUGACAUCUCCAAUGAUUUGGGUAAGUUUAAAGCAUGCAGCGCUGGAAGGAGACGGCUGUGCACAAACGGAAGGAAAAACUGGCCAAGACCGUAGCAGUAAAGGAAGGUGGGAAAGCUGGAUGGUGGUGAAAGCAAGGAGAAGGAAUGGAGUCACAUAAGAAUGGGCAAAUCUGUCAAUUUCAUUUGCUCAUUUUUUCAACUUUAAGUUUGGUUUUCCACAUAAAUUUUCAUUUUAACAAAAUCCUCAUGAAUAUUCAUUAGCAUUUCAGUGCAAAUUUCCCUUUAUACACACAUUUUCCAAGCAAUCUUGCCCCAAAUACAUAAUUCUGCAAAGCAAUUUUCCCACAUGUAGUGCAUUUUGUAUAUUACCCUUCCCUGCUAUAUGAGUUGUUAUGCACACUUGGCAAUAAUAUAUAUAUUUUCGUAUGCAGUACUUGGAUGGAGAACUGCACCACAAAAUUUGGAUAAGUUUACAUUUCAAAGGAUGGCUUUGUUUCAGUCUAUGUAUUGUUUUAGGAACAGCAAAUAAGGUAUGCUUGCCUUUAGAUGUGAACUCAAUUGAAUUCCUCCGCCAAUCCCUAGGUGAGGGUGGGGGUGGGAGAUGUCAAUUUCAACAAGGGGAAAUAUGUUUUCAGCAGUUUUUUUUAUUAUAAAAAGCACACCCUUGAAUACAUUUAAAAUACAGUUGUUAAAAAAAUCCCAAACACUUGUUGUUUCAAGACAUUUGCUAUAACUUUUAUGUGCUUCGUAAUAAACUAUGGCAGUGUAAGUAGAGUCUUGCUGCAUAAGAUAAAUGGUAAGGUAAAGGUAAAGGGACCCCUGACCAUUAGGUCCAGUCGUGACCGACUCUGCGGUUGCGGCGCUCAUCUCACUUUAUUGGCCAAGGGGGCCGGUGUACAGCAUCCGGGUCAUGUGGCCAGCAUGACUAAGCCGCUUCUGGCGAACCAGAGCAGCGCACGGAAACGCCGUUUACCUUCCCGCCGGAGCAGUACCUAUUUAUCUACUUGCAUUUUGACGUGCUUUUGAACUGCUAGGUUGGCAGGAGCAGGGAUUGAGCAACGGGCGCUCACCCCAUCGCUGGGAUUCGAACCGCCGACCUUCUGAUCGGCAAGUCCUAGGCUCUGUGGUUUAACUCACAGCGCCACCCGCGUCCCAAGAUCAAUGGUAAACUCUGCCAAAUCCAGGAUUCCAUUUUUCUCAAUGGUCAGCCAAAUGUCCACAAACAGGACAUGAAUGGAAGGGCAUUAGAUUGCAGAUGAUUCAUAUGUUUCUUCAUCAUUGCAUGAAGCCUGGAAUGGUUGAAAGCGCAGUGGUUUGACUAGUGGUCAUUCUGUGUUUCCAGAAAUAACUGAAAAGGACCUGACUGUGGACAGUAGCCAACUAAUGAAUCCAAGGAUUUCUACUUGUGUAGCCGGACUCCCCCCUUCUCUCCCUGUGUGUGUCCUGAGCCCUCCCCAAAAUCUGCUUCAGGGGGUUGGGAGAAGCCCUAGAACAGAUUUAGGUGAGUGUAGGGGAAGGAGAAAACUCAGCACUAGUUAAGCUGCAAACCUAUAUUUUGAACCCUCUGGAGUGGCAUAUAACAACAGGAACAACUGGCCUAUGGGUUAAUCUCCCCACGAGCAUGGCAGCAUCAAAGUAGAGCUGAGUCAUGAAAAAAGCAGUAGGGGAGAAAGCAUUCUCAAACAACAGCUCCCAUCAUCCUCGACUAUUGGUCAUGUUGGCUAGGACUGAUGGGAGUUGGAAUCCAGCAAUAUGUUGAGGAAGCCUGCCUGCGUAAGAACAUAAACGUUGGAUUGCUUGAUCAGCAAUGAGAUGAUCCAUCUCAUUCAGCACUAACUAGGACUGCCAUGUGUUGUGCUUUACAGAGAACAGGACUCUGUUUGAAGAAGGUCUCUAUGUGAAGGGGUGUCCAGUUCAAAGAACCCUAAGAAGUGAGAAUAGGGGCCUUGAAGUUGCCCAUCAACUCUUAGCGCUUGAGCAGACUGAGGAGCCCCAACAAAACCUGGUGGGCAUCAGGUCGGGGAAGGCUGUUCUUAUGAGUAAGGAAAGGUUGUUUCUCACUUUAUAUCAAAGAAUCCAGUUUCUGUUGAAAAGGCAGACCUAAAAGUCCAAUUCAGAGUGCUCACUGGCAGCAUCUCUCAUAAAGCUCAACAAGCUGGAGGUGCCAUUUAUUUGUAACUGUGUGUACUCACCAUUGUAGCUGAUUCUCCAGCGAGCCAUUCUGGUCAGCAGCAGUAUAAAUUGAUUUCCCAGUUCACACAUAGCUUUGGAAUAAAUGCUGCUGGAACCCAGGUAUACCCAGCUCCUGUUCUGCAGCGGCUGCCCAGCAGAAAAACCAAUUAAUUGUUGUGGCCAUGGCAAACAGUGCACGCUGCUCAGGAUGCUAAGAUCUCUGACUGGGGGGAAAUGCUCCCCAAUCUGUACUUUUAGGAUAUGCUGCCAUUGGGCUUGCAUAAACAUUUGUGACAAAUAAUUUAUAAAUAUAUAUUUAAAAAAGAAAACGUCAGAGGCAUUUCUAUGUAAAGCCCCCAUUCUUAAUUUUGAUUUUAAAUGUCUCGGCUGAACAGCAGGUGCUCCAGACAGCCACCACACCUCAUUUUAUUCCUCUUGUUCUGAACUAUACAGUAGUUAUUUCUCAUAUAAGCCUGUUCCAGACACAAAAAGCUCAAGAUAAAUGCUCACUUUUCAGUGAGAGCCUCCAUAUUAACAUAUUGCCAUGUUGCUCCGUGUUAUGUUGGUACUAGAUACUUUCAUGUAAAACAACCACCACCACCAGAAAUAUUGAUGACUUGCUUGAUUUGAAAUGAGCAUUUAAUCUCCAGAAUGCAUUUAAAGGAAAUUGGCCAUGAAUUACUUCUGAACAUCAUAAUCUCCCAAAACAAAAGCCCACCUAUCGUAGAAACGUGAGUCAAGUUUGUGCUUUGUAUCUAAUGCAGUUUCACCCACACACAUUAGUGUGGGAGUGACUGAUUGCUUCGGGUUCCAUUUGCAGUGCCUCAAGAAACAAGUUAAUGAUAAAAUAAAAUGGAAUCUCAGUGUUGAUGAAAUCCUGGACUGAAAGAUAGAGGCGACGGAGGCCUGAUCCUUAUGCGUUACUUUUCUGGUGGUGAUGGUGGCUGGAUGCAGUGGUGCACUGGAAGAAUCCUGGAAAGGCAGAGGCCUUGUGGGUGUUCCCAUGCCCAAGAGAGAGGUCAACUGCCUGUUCUGGAUAGAGUGGAACGCCCUCUGCAGGAGCAGGUGCACAGUCUGAGAGUCCUUCUUGAUCUAUCACUUAGAGGUCCAAGUGAUGUCUGUGUCCAGGAGUGCUUUUUGCCAGCUCUGGCUGGUAAGACAGCUGUGACUGACAGCUGGACUAUGACAGCCUGACCACAGUGGUCCAUGCAUUGGUAACUUUAUGGUUUGGUUAAUGCAGACCCUCCAAGUGCCCCUAUUUUCCAGGGACAGUCCUGGAUUUUCAGAAGCCGUCCCGGUUUCUUCUUUGAUCCUGGAAAUCCACUCCACUUCCCAGUGGGGAGGAGUUGUGGUGGACUGCGUGGUCACCCACUCCCCUCCGGGGGAGGGGGACUUACCAUAGUCCCCUGCUUUUACUUACGGCAGAGAAAUGUUGGAGAGUAUGGAGUUAUGCAACCCGUGAGCCAAGGAGAUAAGUAACCAAACAACCCUCAGAAGACAUCUGAAGGCAGCCCUGUUUUUUAAUGUUUCAUGUUUUCUUCUGUUUUUAUAUAUGUUGGAAGCUGCCCAGAGUGGCUGGGGCAAUCCAAUCAGAUGGACAGGGUUGUUGUUUAGUCGUUUAGUCGUGUCCGACUCUUCGUGACCCCAUGGACCAGAGCACGCCAGGCACUCCUGUCUUCCACUGCCUCCCGCAGUUUGGUCAGACUCAUGUUUGUAGCUUCGAGAACACUGUCCAACCAUCUCGUCCUCUGUCGUCCCCUUCUCCUUGUGCCCUCCAUCUUUCCCAGCAUCAGGGUCUUUUCCAGGGAGUCUUCUCUUCUCAUGAGGUGGCCAAAAUAUUGGAGCCUCAGCUUCAGGAUCUGUCCUUCCAGUGAGCACUCAGGGCCGAUUUCCUUAAGAAUGGAGAGGUUUGAUCUAUUUGCAGUCCAUGGGACUCUCAAGAGUCUCCUCCAGCACCAUAGAUGGACGGGGUACAAAUAAUAAAAUUCUUAUUCUUAUUAUGGAAUAGGAUAUCUUUCAUUAGAGAAAUGAUGGUGGGUAUGUUAGUGUGGUUUAUAGCUGGGAAGCUUCAGCUAGUGAAGACGGCUCACAGGAGCAGAUUACCGGCAACAUGUUACCCCACUGCUGAGAAAGCUGCACUGGUUGCUGAUUUGCUACCAUGCCCGCUUCAAGUUUCUUAUGUUAAUUCACAAAGCCCUGAACAACUUGUGCCCAACAGCUUGGAGAACUGUCUGAUCCCUUAUGGUCCACUUUGAUCACUGAGAUCCUCUGAGAGGGUACUUCUGGUGGUUUUCCACACCCCUGAGGUUCAGUUGGCCUUCACUGCAGACCGAGCCUUUAGUGUGGUAGGCCCUACCCUGCGGAACUCCCUAGCACAAGGAGUUUGUCAGAAACCAUCCCUCCCUUCCUUCAGAUGUCUUUUGAAAACUUCUUUGUUUAGACAGGCCUUUCCAGCACGAAUUUUCUUCUUUAAUCCAAUCAGUAUUGAUGCUUGCCAUGAUGUUUUUAGAGAUAAUUUUUACAUAUUCUAUCCAGCUUUGCUUUAUUUAUGAAAGUACAGAUUAUAAAUUCAUUUGUAAAUAAUUGAGUACUACAAGCUAUUUUGAGCAUUAUUCUUUGAUAUUCUUUUGCAAGGAAUUGAUCUUUUGCAAAGAAUUGAACUCCCUUGAUAUUAACAUCAGGCAAUCCCUUUUUGUACACAGUUUUAGAACCUGCUAAAGCCAGUUGGAUAGAGCGUGAUGCCGAUAACACCAAGGUUGCAGGUUCGAUCUCCAUAAGGGACAGCUGCAUAUUCCUGCAUUGCAGAGGGUUGGACUAGAUUAUCCUUGGGAUCCCUUUCAACUCUAUGAUAUGCCAGUGUGGGGUGGAGCCAGAGUAUCUAAUGUGAAUUUCACCUAUGUAUAGUAAGCUACUCACACUCCUUUUUAUCAGGACAAGGAAAAGGCCUUGUGAGAGUUCAAUGACACAUUCUGGCCAGGCAGGGCCAGUGAGGUCUGUGGCCUGGGGACAGUUCUGAGGGCCAGAUACAAAGGAUUGAAGGGCCACACCUGCCCCCUGGGCCUGAGGUUCCCCGCCCUCAAAUGACAGUCUUACAGCUGUACUUCAGCUUUUCAUAAAGUUGCCUUUUCAUUCCAAGCGAUGCCACAGACUGCUACUGCUUGUCCAGUUGCUCCUACAUUUCUGUCAAAGUGAAUAUAUUUCACAGUUCAUCAAGGGUUAACUAUUCAGUUGGCUGGAGAAGGACGAGGGGCAAAACAACUCCAUAUGUGGACCAUGAAGGAAGAGGUGAAAUUAUAUGUACUGUUCCCUACAGCUCCUCUGUUAUAUUAUUCUCCACAGCCCUUCCCCAAAUUUAUUGAGCUAUUUCACUCGGCACAUAAAAAUCCCUCUUUCGGCUGUGCGCUGAGGUCUGCAAAUAAAAUAGAGCCUGAAUCGGAAGAGGAAAGCACUUGGUUCCCCCCUCUCUCAAAAAAAAAACCAAAAAACGGUGCAGGCAUAGCAAUGCCGCACAUAGAAUAAGUUUGCGAAUAUUUUCUAAAGGCAGGACCAUGCUUGGGGCUAUAUCUGAACUCAUCAUUGCCAACCGCCCAGCUGACAGACCUGCUGGAGUAUUCAUGGGGUGCCCAAAAGCCACCAUAACAGUGUGACUGCCAAUCUAUCAUUCUACUAACUGAAAGUUGCAGUUUUACUGUCAUGCAGUGGAUUAAUUUAGCUCUGCAAAGGGGAGAGCCUGUGGUUCUUCUGUCGUGGGCAGUGAAAGGAUUGAGCCAACAUUUAAGCAUCCUGCCUUGGUCCUCUGUCAAAAGAAAACAGUAGGGGAAGGUGAGGUGGGCCUCUGCUUCCCCUGGAGAAAGAGUGAUUUAGGAGUAGAUUUGUUACCUUUUAUAUACGUACACAUGAGUAUCAGACGCCGUUCUCUUUGGUUCCGAUCUUGCCUAAGACCAGGCCUUUGGUGAAAUGAAUGAGAGACUUGUUUCACUAAGGGGCUGAGGUUUCUGACCCCAGCGACAGUAGGUUUGAGAUAUUUGUGACACUCUUGAUCCUUGGAGAAAACACUUCUCGCUGGGCUGCCAUACAGGUGUGAGCAAUUGACCCUGGACAGCCAUUCUUUAUUGGUUUUUAUUUUGUCAGAUGCUCUUUCACUUUAGCUAUUACAAGGAGUAAUCGCUUCAGACAGGCAGGGCUGAGAUGAUUGGCUGUUGCCUCUUUUUUCCAGAGUAUCACAAUCAUGCACUGGUUGGAAUUGGCUUUGCAGCACAACAGCUGUCUUAUGUUUUCUGAAAUAAAAAAUCUGAACGUUUCAGUUUCUUUAAACACAAUACUUAUUCCAUUCAUAAAAUUAAGAUUCAGCUUUCAUUUAUGUGUAACUUUCAUUUUUUAAUUUAAUUUGAUAUUAAUGUAAAAAAUACUGAGCUAGAUAGACCAUUGGUGCAACUCGAUAUAAGGCAACUUCCUAUGUUCCUAAUUUUGGUGAGUGUAACUAACAAAGUGAUCUGUGUGUGAAUUCAGGAGAUCACCACCAUUGAUGUUUAGUGAGCAAAUUAAUAUUCUGUUGGGUAACACACACAAAGCAAGUCUUCAUUUCCAUCCUAAUCACUACUGGGAUUUUUAUCUGGAGAACUAAACUUAGUUUGAAUUUCUACUGAUCCACUAAUAUUGCUUCAGUGAUAAUAUUUAAUAAUUUAUUUUUAUUUCUGUUUAUAUUGAUUUAAGAGUUUUCUUAUUCUAGAGUUAUUAAAACAUUCCAGAUUAGGCAGGCUGAUGGGAGUUCAAAGGUGAACCAUAAAUAGCUUGUUGGAUUUUUUUUUAAAGAAUAAAAUUACAGAAAUCUCUGUGUUCACAAGACUGUUACCUGUAAUUAUCCUGUCUUUGAUUCAGCAGUGAGGGAAUGAAUUGUAUGGAACUAUACGCACAGAAUUCUAGCUAGCACCUUCUUUUGUUUCCUUUGUCUUGAGUGACCCAGAGUGAAAUGAGCUUAUGGUUUUCUUCUUCUUUGUGAUGAGUCGUGUGCUUCAGUAACCAGUAGGGGUUGAGCCAAAACUUAGUGGUACAACAGAGGCUAGGUUGGGAAAGGUUUCUGCCUGCCAGAAUAGAUUAUUGGCAUUGCUGAAUCAAGGACCUGACUAAGUAUAAGGCAGCUUCAUAGGUUCUUAAAAGACUAUGUGAAUUUUGAGAAAGCCAUUAGUUAAAAUACAAAGAAUCAAUAAACAACCUUCCCAAUACUAGACUUGCAUAUACACUGGCUCUAUUCACACAUUACACUGAACAGUGGUUUCAUGGUAUGUCCAUGAGCUGGAACAAGUCCGAACAAGUUCAAUCCCACAUGAUUGAAAAGAGGACUUUGGAACCACGUACUUUGUGGUUCAACUUUCAUUGUGUCUAAUCCUGGGAUCAUGGUUUAGCAUUAAGUUUGGUUUAUCAAAAGAAAGUCAGGUUCAAACUUUGAAGUGUGAAGCUGGCUUGUUUAAAUUAAACAUAGUAUAUAAACCACAGUCCACAGUUUGAAUGAAAUUGCAAGCUGUAUUGAAGGGAGACUGAAAAUAAAUUUGUCUGAAGUUAGUUGUCAUCCAGAGUGGCUGGGGCAACCUUGUCAGGUGGGCGGAGUAUAAGUAAUAUAUCACCACCACCACCACACCCUCUCCACUACAGUGGUACCUCAGGUUAAGAACUUAAUUCGUUCCGGAGGUCCAUUCUUAACCUGAAACUGUUCUUAACCUGAAGUACUACUUUAGCUAAUGGGGCCUCCCGCUGCCGCCAUGCUGCCGGAGCACAAUUUCUGUUCUCAUCCUGAAGCAAAGUUCUUAACCAGAGGUACUAUUUCUGGGUUAGCAGAGUCUGUAACCUGAAGCGUCUGUAACCCGAAGCGUCUGUAACCUGAGAUACCACUGUAUGUGGGAAGAGAAGGCACAAGGAGGAACAGGUGAGCCUAGGGCUUGCUUGACCUUAUUCCCAUUUGUACAUGUUCUACUAAACUGUGGUUCAGCUUGACAUGUUGACAUGGUUAUUGAGUAUAUACAUAAGUGUAUGGUUCAAAUUUCAUCCCAGCCAUGAACUCACUGAGUAGCCUUUGGCAAGCUCCUUUCUUUCAGCCUCCAUCUGCAAUAGGGAGAUGAAGACGAUACCAGUCUACAUAUUUGUUGAAGGGACUUCUCAGUUAAAGAAAUGUGGAGCACAUGUCAUAUAAAUUAGUGCUGUGCCUAAACCUGUUCUCCAGUUUCUCAAAAGUUUUCUUCCCCAGCCAAGGAGGAUUCUGGUUCCCUGUCUUAUUUUCAUGGUACAUUAGACUUAAAAAACAAACAAAAAAAACUUGGUGUGGAAUGUAGCUUACCUUAUGCUUGUGAGAUGGCUGGCAGUGGUGUAUAACCUUCACCCUGACUAAACAUUUAUCUGGCAUUUUUCAGCCUCCCUGGCUGUCCCUUUUUCCUGAUCUGAAAAAAAGUUCUACAGUUUAAUGUGAGGUGUGAAAACAUGAGUUGCCUUAUGAAAUAUUCCUGGUUUUUUAAGUGAAAUACUCCAAGAUGAGACAUACUACACUUUCCAAAAUAUAUCCUUGGCUUUUGGAUGAGAGAGAAAUGUAUGGAAAUGGUUGUUGUGUCAUGUUAGUGGAAUGUUUGUGAAGCAAACUGAGUCAUAUAGCCUUUUAUUUUUCUUUGGAAUUUGACUCCCACAAUAUGUUGCAAGGGAAAUUAAAAGGUGUUGGAAAUCAUCUACAAAACUCCCGUAAUACGAGUGUGUAAUGCCAGUGGUCAAGUUGGAAACUGAACCAAAUAAAGUCAUGUAUGUUCUGGCACACUUGCUUGAGAGUCAGCCUCAUUACACUUGAUGGGAUUUACUUCUGUAUAAACAUACAUUGUGCUUCAUGGCUCCAACCCUACGUAUGCUUCCUUGGGCUCAUGCCCACUGCGCAAAUUGGCUCAUCCUUCAGAGUAAACAUUCAUGGACUUGAGCUGCCCAAUUUGCCCGCCUUCCUCCUAGAGCGCAGGUUGACAAAUUAUGCUGUGCCUGAUGAUCGUUAGGUGGCAGAUGGCAGGUGAUCAAGAUUUCAUUAUCAAACACCGAUUUUCUUCUAAAGGUGAAAAGAUGACCAGCUGUUCUCUACUGCAGUGCCUAAGGGAGCUAAUAGCUCAGGUUUAGCCAGUUACAAAAUAUAAUAACAAACGUCCCUUAAUUAAUUUACAUACAGCAUUCAGCUUGGAUUAUUGCCAUUCUGAUAUCAUUUCAAACGAACUGAGGUGAAACUAAUUAUGGCCCGCGUAAUGCAAAUAAUGACAUUUCCUAUGUACUAUGAGCAAUUGACUGAGGAACAUUCUUAUUUGUUCAUUCUUCCUCUUGAAGGAAGCGUUGCCCAUUAUAUUAAAAGGUGACAGAUAUAAAGACCAGAUUGCAUCAGCCUGUCUUCUAAAAUGCCAUUGUGAUAAUUUACUUAGGAGAUUUACAGCUGCUGCUUCUCAAUUGCUCUUACCGGAGAGUUUGCUACGUCUUAAGAUUCUCAGAGUCAGUACUAUGGGAUGCUGGCCACAGCAGUAUUUGCCAAGCUACCAGGGCCGAGCUAGAUGCGAUUUGAAAUGCUACAGACAUCAUCAAGAAACUAAAGCUUUCCUAUGUAUACUUCAUGUAGAUUAUAUACUUGCUAUCCAGUUGUGGCAGCUAGCUUGUGUGACCGUCAUUUCACUAACAGGGACCAUUCUUAGCACAGCACAACAGAUAAAUUUGCUUGCGCAAAAUAUUGUACAACUCUUAGUGGAGCUGCUAUUGGUGACAGUUAAGCUUUGUGCAUUACCUCCUCUGCUACAGCUUGCACCCCCUGCCAAUGAGUGAGCUAAAAUCUCAAGAUGCUUCAAGUUUUCCUUCCUGUAUUGUCGUGUGUAUUAGUGAAAGACCUUGAUGCCUUAGCAUGACUUCUUACAGUUUAUAUAAUUGGGUGCCUUUAGAUAGUAUUUUUUAGUCAUUAGUGAAUUAACUAUGAUCAGAGAGCUCUUCAGACUGUUUCUACAUUUUAUUCUAAUCAAGAAGAUAUAGACGUAUAAUUAGUCUUUAAUUAUUGAGAAUUUAUGUGAUAUAUUGUCCCCUCUACAACCCCUGAUGAAGGCUUAAAGUAACUGCAGACUGAAACAUGUUUUUCUUUUGUUUUACUAAUAUAUUUCAUUUUCUUUUGUUUUACUAAUAUAUUUCAUUUGCAGUAUCUUGAGAUUUCCUCUCUCGGUUAUUUUGCACACAUAACAUUUCCCCCUCUAUUUUUGGAAUCAUUAGCACAGCAAAAUCAACUCUCAAACUUCUUGUGCUAGCAUUAUGUUGGAUCUCAUCCUAUGAGCUUAACAGGAGAAUUCAUGGGGGUCUUUCCCACUAUUGGAGAGGAGAAAUCAGUAUAAGCUAUGCAGGACAAUGGCAGGCAAUCAGGCAGGGCAGGAUGAUAAGCCGAUGAUAAGGCUGAGGCUUGUUGGAAGUGGUACCAUGCCCUUUAGUUUCGUAUCAAGCCAUGAGUGUGGCUGAUGUUCAUGCAGUGCAGCCCUAAUCAGGUUGACUCAGAAGCCAGUCCCAUUACAGUGGUACCUCGGGUUACAUACGCUUCAGGUUACAUACGCUUCAGGUUACAGACUCUGCUAACCCAGAAAUAUUACAUUGGGUUAAGAACUUUGCUUCAGGAUGAGAACAGAAAUUGUGCAGUGGCAGCGCAGCAGCAGCAGGAGGCCCCAUUAACUAAAGUGGUGCUUCAGGUUAAGAACAGUUUCAGGUUAAGAACGGACCUCUGGAACGAAUUAAGUAUGUAAUCAGAGGUACCGCUGCAUGUGAAAUGGGCCUUACUCCCAAGUAGGUAUGUGCAGAGUUGCGGCCUACGGCUGUGAUCUUAAAGACCACUAAAGUAUAACACAAAAUCAUUCACUCACAAUUAGGUAGUUAUGCUGUCAUCAGUUGAUCUCCUGCAAAAGCAAGAGCUAUUGUCAGGUGUAUAAAUAGCCACUCCCCUGAUCAUUCUGCAUUGAAUAUUAACAGCUAGGAUGGUAACCAGGUCUCAUAAUUGAGAUAAGGCUUCGCAACAAAACUGUGAUCAUUAAUUUUUCUUUUCUGAUUUCUCCGGGUUUUGAAGUUCUGCCAAAGCUUUGUCCCAGAUUAUUGCCUGAGGCACCACUCAGGGAAAUGAUAGCUCACUGAACUACAAAAAAACAGACACCAGAGUAAUUUUUUACAACCUCUUUGCCAGUUCCUUUGCUGCAUGAGAGACAAAAGUAAAACAUGGUAUACUUUCCUAUAACUGUAGACAUGGGAAUUGGAAUUCAAAAAUAUGAAGCAAAAGCUUUAAACUUUCAUUGCAAUUUGCAAGCAGAGAUAAGCAUAAACUAAUAACUUGCUUACUUUUAUGCUUAUUCCAAUGAGGAUAAGAAAGACCUAGAGCUUAAACAAAUGCAUCCCAUAAACUUUCCUCAGGAAUCUCUCUUGUAAAACUUGAAUAUUCAGCACCAGUAUUUUAGACCCACUGAUAUUUAAUAUAAUAUUUUCCCAUUUCACUGUAAUAAGUGUUUAGGAUUUGACAGUCUCUGAUGGGUGGCCUGCAGUGGUAGAUAGUAUUUCACAGUAUUUGAUAGUUUUUACUAAGUUUAUGUUGGGGGAAGUGGGGGACAGUUGCUACAUUUUGUGGGCAAAAUCUGGCCUAAGGAAAAUUGCUAGAAGACACCAUGAUUAAGCUGGGAGUGUUACUGUUUCUGUCUUGGUCAACACUAUAAAUCAAGAGAAUGCAUUGCUCCGGCUAAUAGUGAACUUAAGUAGUGAGUGCAGAUGGGUAUACAACUAAAAGAGGGGACUCAGCUACAUUAGUAAAACAACCACCACCACAGCACUUGGUUAUAAACAUGCAACACCAGAUGGCUCUAGAGAGCAAAAAAAUUCUUUGUGAUUUCCCAUAGCAUUUUCUUUCUUUUGUUAUAAUGACUUAAUUUCUGACUUACUUAUAGCGGUCCCUGCCCCCCCCCCCGUGUGUAGAUCCACCCUAGGUUUCUGAAAAGCAACAGAAGAGAUGCCUGCAUGCUUGGUAAGUGGAAAACAACUGCUUGAAGGGUUGGGCUGGCUUGUUCCCUGGAAGCACUCUUGUCAAAAAGGACUAAAUACACUUGUUUGAUGUUGGUUUGAUGGCCAAAUGAAUGGAAUGAUGGAAAGAUUAUACUGUCAAAGGAGAGGAAGGAAAAGCAGAAUGAAAUAUUUGUGUAUGUGUAGGGCCCAGUGCUUCCUGUUGAUCUGGAUGGUAUUGUGUUUUGUUUCAUACGUUUGCUUGGUUAGGAGAAGUGUGGGAAGCUAUAUGCACAUAUGCUUUCAUUGCAUUUGGGGCACAUGAGGAUGUCUCCAGUCUAGAAUAGAAACUAGAAUACCCCUUCAAGCAAACAAAAUGACUUGCUAAAAUGGCCAUCUUGAAAUACAUAUGAAAGUAGAGGGCAAAUGAAAAUGAUAGAAAGGAAACCACAUGUCAUCUUAAAUUAUGUAUGCAUACCAAAGCAAGUUAAUGAAUUACCAUUAAUUCUAGUUCAUUUAAAUUAGAUUUUUGAUGCUGUUAUGUACUGAGUUGAAUAGGAUCCAAAAUGCAGCAGUCUGAUUGGUCCUAGAACAAUAGGAUUCAGAAUGCAGCAGUCUGAUUGGUCCUAGAACAAUGCAGCAGUAUGAUUGGUCCGCAGGAGCCACCCAAUCCAGCUCCAGGUGGAAGUGAAUCCGCAACCUGAUUGGCCUACAGGUGAAUCCCAGAAUUAGCCAAUCACGUGUGGCCCAUUGUGUAAAUAAUGUAUAUAAAGCAGAUAUUUUGGGGGAACAUUCAUUUCUCCUCACCACUAUGAGCUGAAUAAAGAGCAUGAAUUCCACUCUCAACUCUGAGUAUAUUUCAGAUGCCAUGUGUCUAUUAAAAAUACACACAGUAGCAGCAGCAGCCAUUAACAACAGCAACAACAAAUAAAGCACCAGAGAGCCACUCCUUUCCUUGGAGGUUUUUAAGCAGAGGUUGGAUGGCCAUCUGUCAUGGAUGCUUUAGCUGAGAUUUCUGCAUUGCAGGGGGCUGGACUAGAUGACCCUUGGGGUCCCUUUCAUAUCUACAAUUCUAUGAGUCUAUGGUUCUAGGAAAAACAUCAGCCAGGAACACUAUCAUUAGCAGCUGGGAAAGAUUGGCAGAACAGUUUUCAGGGUGUAUAAACAACAUGAUCUUGUUUCAGAUCUGCACCUACAAGACCACUUAUUAGAACACACACACACACACACACACACACACACACAACCCCCAGUAACUUAAUAUAUUGAAAUCUUUCUUUCUUUUUUUAUUUAGGACAGGUGUGGGGAGCUCCAGAACUACAACUCCCAUCAAUCCUGGCUGUUGGCCAUGCUUGCUGGGGCUGUUGAGUUGCAGUACAGCAACAUCUGGAAGAGCAAAGGUUUCUGUACCAAGUUCAGGGCAUAGGAGAACCUAUUUCUACAAAUGGGCUAGCCUCCACUCAAAGGGCUUUGCUUGAUUUACUAGAUCUGGUACCAUUGCCGAACACUCGGCUUGGUGUGACUUUGGGCAGUGUUGGUGCACCUGUUUGAGAGAGGAGGGGGAGGGGAGGCAGGAUUCCAUCUCCCUCGCUCUCCUCCACCUCCAACAGGUGAUUGGCGCUGUCAUCUUUGACGGUGCCAACCAUCUGCUCUGCACAGAACACAGCGCUGCAUGCAAGGUUAUCUGGACAGGAGCCAAUGAAGAUGAUGGAUAUGAUCCAUGUUGCCAAGUUCUGGCUGCUUUCUCGAAUAUGGGGUCAGAAGGGGGAAAGCCUGAGGGAGAAGCAGUCUAUUUAAAGCUUGCAUAUUCAUCUCUGCUAAUUACUUAUACAUUUGGGGGAUAGGAAUUAUUUUUAGAUUAAAGAAAAAGUGUUGUCCUUCUAGAUCUAGCUACAUAUCUAUAAAGAAAGAUGAUGAUGAUAAUGUGUGGUGAAACAGAUAUUAUUUGGCAUUUUAUCCUCCCUUCUUCACCUGCAACCUCAAUGCCUGUUACUAUAACUUCCUUAUUUCAAACUACAUGGCCUCCAUGCUGUGAAAGAAAAAUUGCUAUGUGUAGGGGUGCCUUUUUGCUGUAAUUGUCUACUGAGACCUUGAAAGCUUCAGAAUAGAAGACAUUGCAGUGGUAAUGGAUGGGGGGGGGGGAGGAAUUGGUUGCAGGCCUAAAAUGCUUACUCUGAGGAAAUGAUGUAGAAGACUCCUCUUUACUUAUGAGUAGGAAAGAAAGGUAUAUUACAUUUUACAAAAAAGCGAGUCAUACUGAUUAAAUAUUUUGCAUAUAUUAGGGUUGCCAUAUUUCAAAAAGUAAAAACCUGGACACCCCAAAUAAAUUAUUAUUAUUACUGUAAUUUCAUUACAGCCUGGCAUACAACUGCCAGCAUCUUGACAUGCUGUUGGUGCUCUGCCUCCAUCUGUGGGAACGUUAGAAGUUGCUUUCUACUGAGCCAAACCAUUGGUCCAUCAAGCUCAGGGUUUCCCAAGCUUGGGUCUCCAGCUAUUUUUGGACUACAACUCCCAUCAUCCCUAGCUAGCAGGACCAGUGGUCAGGGAUGAUGGGAACUGUAGUCCAGCUGGACACCCAAGUUUGGGAAACACUGGUCUAGCUCAACAUUGUCUAUGCUGAGCAUCAGUGGCUCUCCAUGAUUCCAGACAGGAGACAUUCUAAGUCUGACUUGGAGAUACUUGGAACCAGUCCUUUUUUCUGGAGGGACGCAUACCCCUAAACAUUUUGUGAAUCUAAGUUUGGCCUCAUUGAGGGGCAGUAUUUCAGUAUAAGUAGGAAAAUGAGAGUACCCCUAAACAUAUUUUUUUUAGAAAAAAAGCACUGAUUGGAACCAAACCUUUCUUUUCUGCAUGGAAAGCACAGAGCCCUUUACCACAGAGCUAUGGACCUUCCACAUUCAAUCUGGCUGUUCUUGGGUCUGUUAAAACACCAGCUGCAUAUUAUGCGUCCAUGUUCUUUGUGUGAGAUGGCAGUGGGAGUGGGGCACGAUAAGCAUCUCAUUUCUGCAGAGGUUAAUAUGAGAAGCAGCUCUGAUUAAAGCGUAAUGUGACCCUCCGAAGUUCACGCUACUGGUCUCUCACUGGUCCUGUAGGGAGUGCCAGCGAAGGAUUAGAGAAUUAGCUACAUUCCUAGUGUCUAGUUUCUUUAGCUGAGAAUCUAAUAAUGCAAAAUGAACUGGCUGCGGUAGACAUCACAGGCUGAUGUGCUCCCAAAGGUACUGUGCUCAGCAAAGGCUAUCAGGAUUUUAAACAGCUGCACAGGCGAGAUACUGCUUUACAGAACCUGUAAACACAUUACUGCAGCUGUCCCUCACGGUAUUCUUUGCUCUCACCCUCCAUUCCAAGCUCAGCUGUUCUGCGCAUUUAGAUAAAGCCAUGCUGCAGGCGACUGUGGCAGGUAGCAGGACCCUGAAAUUAAGGUGAUGCCUAACACACACUGUUAUUUGCAUAUCCCACACUGUGCUGCUAAGUCAUCCCCAUGGUGAAAUUCUCGUUGGCCCCGUUCUCCUCCUUUGUUAUAGAAAAGUAACUAUUAAAAUGAGUUCCAUUUCUCUCUGCACCCAAUCGUUCCGAGUUUGUACCAUGGGCUUAUUAGAGGCAAUAUUCACAGAUGGAUUGCUGGCUUUACUUAGAGACCUGCAAGCACUUGUCCUGAAUCUUCAAUGAGAACAAGCAUUUUCUCUUUCUUUCCGUGUGUACUUUUGUUUGUUUUGUUUUGUUUUGACCAUUUUUUCCCUCCAAUCUUUUUCAAACACUUGAGUUAAAUAGUUGUUGCCAGGGCUCCAGGCAGCGUGAAUCAAAUUCACUGCACUUUUCAAUUACCCAGGUUUCUCUUGCGACGCACAUUCCGGGAUAAGAAUGCAAAAUGGUGCAGAACCUUGUCUGAAGAAAUAUUUCUUUCAUUUGUCAAGACAUCAUUAAUGAAUGGAAUCCACUACCAUGAAAUGUUGUGAUGUCCACUAGCUCGAGUGCUGCUGCUGCUGCUGCUGCUGCUGCUGCUGCUGCUUCUUCUUCUUCUUCUUCUUCUUCUUCUUCUUCUUCUUCUUCUUCUUCUUCAAAAUGGUGUUAGCUCAGGGAUGGGGAAGCUGUGGCCCCUCCAGAUGUUAUUGGACCCCAACUCCCAUCAGCCCCAGCCAGUAUGGCCAAUGGUCAGGGAGGAUCUGUAGUCUAGCCCCAUCUAGGGGGCCACAGCUUUCCCAUCCAUUGGCUAGAUAAAACCAUGGAGGACAGGUCUAUGGAUGCCCACAAGUCAUUGAAACUAGGUGGAACCUUCAUGUUCCAAAUGAGGAAGGGAACAAAACAACGUUACUCCGUCCUGCCCAACAGGUCUGUAUUCAUUUGUGCUGCUGGCUCAGGAACCUCUAGAAAACAGAAAGUUCUGGGUCCAUUCUGUAAAUCUUAACACCCCAUGUCCUGCUUUAAAUGAUGGUUCUAGUCUGGAUUCCUGAAAAGCUGAAUAGGAUAGGGUUGCCAUAUUUCAAAAAGUGAAAAUCCGGACAAACUUCUGACAUGGGUUGCCAUACAUCUGGGUUUCCCCAGACAUUUAAGCGAUUUCUACCUGGUCACUGUUUUCGACAGCCAAAUCCAGGCAAUGUCCUGGAAAUUCCGGAUGUAUGGCAACCCUAGAAUAGGAUUGCUUAUUCUUAAGGAUGAGAAUUAGGCUGCCUACACGCUAUACCUGUAAAGCACAUUCCCUCCCACAGGGAAUUCUGGGUAGUGUAGUUUGUCAAGGAAAUUUUAACUCUGUGAGGGAUAAAGCUGCAGUGCUCAGAAUGUUUAGGGAAGCUUUUAAUGUUUAACAGGUUAUUAUAUUUUAGUGUUUUGUUGGAAGCCGCCCAGAGUGGCUGGAGAAACCCAGCCAGAUGGGUGGGGUAUAAAUAAAUUAUUAUUAUUAUUAUUAUUAUUAUUCUCUGAGGGAAGGAAUGUGCUUUGAAUUCACUUUAAAAGUAUAUAGUGUGUAUGUAGCCCAGUCCUCAUCUUUAAGAAUAAGCACCCCUAUUCAGUUUUUUAAAAUCAACUUAAGUGGUGGUGGAGGAGUGCUGGUGCAGCCCCGCAUUUCUAGCCUCACUGGCUUUACUUCCAACCGAAGCUCUGAAGAGGAGUUUGAAGUGAAUGCAUCGGAGUGCUUAGAGAAACAUCUGUCUGCUUGGAAACCCUGAUAAUAUGGAUUUACCAAUUGUCGGGGAGGCUUCCAAGUGUGUUCAACUGAAGCCCCCUUCAGACCGCAUGGAUUGUGUUGUUGCACCCCACCCCACUCUCUGAGCUGUGUGAGUUUUCAGAGGUUCCAGGCUCUUCCCCAGGGUUUGGUUUCCUUUGAAUGAUGAACAGUGGAGACUGGUGUUUUUCUGAUAUAUGAUUUAUUUACACAGGUAGACAACCUGAACCUACAAUGGAGGGGCUCACAGCAUUAACACUCCAAGAGGAUAUUGCGUUUCCCCUUGGAUUCAAGCAGAGAUCAGGCAUGCCUCUGUCUCUCUGGCUUCCCAGCCUGCUUCUAGCUUCUAGCUCACACCUCAGCUCUGUUCUUUGUCUUUCUAACUGCCAGGUAGUUGAGGGAGCAGGAGAAAACAAGCUUGUUCCCGCUUCCAUUUGACAGUUCUUGGCUAUCAUGCCUCCUCUCAGUCUCCUCUUUCCCAGGCUAAACAUCCCCAACUCCCUCAUAAGGCUUGGUUUCCAGACCCUUGAUCAUCUUGGUUGCCCUCCUCUGCACACGUUCCAGCUUGUCAACACCCUUCCUAAAUUGUGGUGCCCAGAAUUGGACACAGUAUUCCAGGUGUGGUCUUACCGAAGCAGAAUAGAGUGAUACUAUUCCUUACCUUGAUCUGGACACUAUACUUCUGUUGAUGCAGCCUAGAAUAGCAUUUGCUUUUUUUUUGCUUUCUUUCUGAUGACUCAUGUUAAGCUUGUGGUCCAUCAAGACCCCUAUAUCCUUUUCACAUGUACUGCUAUUAAACAAUCAACAUUAUAGAUUUUGAAGUAGGCAGAGAGAAUUUUCACUGCUAAGCAGUGAGGGGGGAAAACAACUCUGAACAUUUUUCUUUAUUUCCAAAAAUCUUCCCUGUGCAGAUGUGGAGCACAGCUGUUUUCAAAGCUAUUGUUUCUCCCCAUUGUUCCUGUUUGUUAAUUCCAAUCCCAAAAUAUCAAGCCCAAGAAGGGCUCCAUUUCCAUUUGCCACCAAGGAAGAGUUUAUAGAGUGUUAACUAUAAUAAAUAAGAGAUUAACAAUGCCCUCUUGUUCUCAUGUAAAAAAUUCUAUUUUGCUGAAAUAUUUAUAGUUAAUCUUUUUUUCCUGAGCUGCAAUGAACAUUUAAUGAGCUCUGAGCAACACUGCUAACCAUAUUGAUUAAUAGAUCAAGUGAAAAUGUUUCAAUUUUGCCAUGAUAUAAUCAACGUGAUUAUAGCAGCAUGUUUGUCAUCUCCCUUUGUAUACGAUUAAUAAUUAGAUUCUGCAAGAGAUGAGAUGCAGUUGACAAUUUGGAAGCAAAAUGAUUAGUGGUUACAAAUCAAUUCUUACUGUUAAAUUAUAGAAACCACUUAAUAAAAGGCAUCCAAAGCAAGAUUGCCAACUGUAAUCGAGUUUUUCUGGUACUUGCUAUACUUUGUGUUAAACUUUAUAACUAUGAUACAUUUAUUGUUUCAGUGUAAGAUGUUCCUUAGGCACUUACAAGAGGGAAUAGCAACUAAAUAUUGCAGUGUGUUACCAUCACACCUAACAGGACUACUCCUGCUGGGCAGACGGACAUACUUUCCCCUGGCAUAUAAACUGGAACAAGCCAAAGCUGAACUGGACCUUGUCAGAGGGUCCUACCUGAGAGUUAGCCAUCCCCCAGAAGGUGGGAAUCCAGAAAUAUUCUGAAGCCUCAAAAUCAGUGCCGGGUUAACAGAUAGGCAGAGUGGGCACUGGCCUAUGGGCCCCAUGCCUUUUAGGGGUCCCGUGACAAUGGAUCAAAAUAAUACUGAUUUGAUCUUGAAAGAAAAUUACAAAAAAUAAAUAAAUUAGGAGAUAAUUUGCAAGCCUCCCUCCCCCAAGAUUUUGACUGCCAAGGGGCCUCCACAGGGUUUAAUCUGACACUGCUCAAAGUUUCCAGGUUUCCGAAUGAUAUACUGUAGUCUCAAUCAAGAGAGUCAUAGUUAUCAGUUCCAUUUCCUUACGCAACAGUGACUUGGACCAAAAAGAACCAAACAUGAAUUCUUGCUCAGAUAUGGAACUUUCUGGGGUUACUUAUCUCACCAUCUCACAGCCUAACUUUUCUAACAGGGUUAGACUGGGCAAGCUGGGGUUCAAAUCCCUACCUAGCCAGAAGGCUCACUAGUGGUCUCAGGUCAGUUCCUAUCUCUCAUCAUAACCUUCCUUACAGAACUGUUGAGGGUAUAAUAUGCGGAGGGUGAGACUGAUUUUGUUGACUCUAGUUCCAUGGAGGAAGGCUGGGAAAGAAAUGCAGUAGUGUCUAUUUUGUGUGUGUGUGUGUGAGAGAGCCAGUGUGGUGUAGUGGUUAAGAGCGGUAGUCUCGUAAUCUGGGGAACCGGGUUCGUGUCUCCGCUCCUCCACAUGCAGCUGCUGGGUGACCUUGGGCCAGUCACACUUCUCUGAAGUCUCUCAGCCCCACUCACCCCACAGAGUGUGUGUUGUGGGGGAGGAAGGGAAAGGAGAAUGUUAGCCGCUUUGAGACUCCUGAAAGGGAGUGAAAGGCAGGAUAUCAAAUCCAAACUCUUCCUCUUCUUCUUCUUCUACACACACACACACACACACACACACACACACACACAGUAUACAAAAUGAGCCAGAUAAUAGUGUGCCAUUAUCAGAUUAUAGCAUGCCACUUUUAAAAUGAAGGAACAAUGUUUCCCAUGUCAAAGGAUGCCUCGUAGGCAAGGAAUAUGUUUAUCAAAACAAAUCCAAAUUACUGAUGGGAAAACUCUUCUCAGCUUGAUUUGAAAAUGGGUAAUCAAUUGCAAGUAUUACUUUUUGUUGAGAACUCUCAGAACAAUCUUGCUUUCUGCUCUCUGUCCUCACCCACUGAGGGUUCCAAAUUGACUCAUAAUGUUGGUUGCACUAAAUUGUGUUGACUUAACAUGUCACUUAUUUGGUUGUCUUUUUCUCCCAGGUCCUGGGUGUUAACCUCAGCUCAAAUAGACCUGCUGAGGGAUUUGUAUUUCUAUGCUAGAAAGCACGAAACUCAGAAAAGGGCCUUAAAGCACAGUUUUCCUGUUGUACUUUUGGAACCAAGCGUGCCGACUUGCUCCCCACCCCGUGACGUGAGCACACCACGUACUGGGUGUGAGUAAGUACAUUGCACAGCGUAUGCACAUGGCUGCCGUAGAAUUUUGAGGGGGCCAGGCCCCCUCCUUGAAAAUUUUGUUGAGACCCUUGGCCCCCAGCCCCCCUAAUUUGGCACCUCUGUUUGGAAUUGAAGCCAUAGUUUGGGGUUGCUAAACUGUGGUUAGGACAAACCAUGGUUUGGUGUCACAGCCACAUGCCUGCCUUAUAUGACAGGAAAAACGGUUUAUCCUGAUUUUGAACAUUAUGAUGAUUGGAUAAAGUACUACAGCGCAAAUGUAAGAGUUAGGCAAGUACCACUGGCUGGGUGAAUACAGACAACAAUUUAAAGGCACAUUCUGCUACAUCCUUUAUUGAAACCAACUUUUCAAGUACGGCAAAAUACACCAUGUGGCAUAGUGAUACUGAUGGCUAAUCUAUGGUAAAGUGAGAGAGCUGUUCUGAGGUAGUUUGGUUCUCUGGUCAAGUCAAGUGGGAAGAACUUUACCAAUCUAGAUGCAGAUAAAUGUUUGAAUAAAUACAAACAUGUGAUUAAUCCCUCUUCAACUCCGCAGAAAACCUUACAGAUGAGCAUCACACUGCGGUAAACUAUUACUUGAUAAGAUUUGUAACAGGUGUAAGCACUGCAACCAGCUGGCCAGAUGCUAUUUUGCCUACUGGUGAUUCUGUUCACAUCUUCACUUUGAGUCUGGCCGCCAUUUUGCCAGUUUAGAAAACAAGGAAGGCUGAGUUUAGUUGCUGGUUCAGAGGGUCCUGAUCUUAGUGCCGAUUGUGGUUUUUGCCAAGGCAUUAAAACUGCAAUCUCUAUGCACGCUUAUCUGGGAGCAAGCCCCAUUGCACUCAGUGGGAUUUACCGGUACAUCUGAGUAGACAUCACUACAUUUGCACUGUAAGGUUGCAAUCCUAUGCAUGCUUCUUAGGGAGCAGCAUUGAAAUCAAUGGGAUUUAUUACUGAAUGCAUACAUAGCACUGCCUUGGAGGUCUUUUUGUGACUUUCCUGGAAUUCAAUCCGAUGAAGGAUUGACAUCUCUAGAAAAGUUCUGUUUCCUGCUUGUUGUUAUUUUGAAGGGCUUCAAUCCAAAUAAUGAUUGCAUUGUAGGAAAUUGUAAUUAGUGCAUAGAUAAUAUUCCCCAAGCAGAAAAAACAGAUUAAAUAUAAUGAGUUGGUAGAAAUUGCUCAUUCAGCUGCAGAGACAACUUAGGGAAAUUUUGCAAACCAGAAAAUUUGUCUAUCUGUCUGUGUAGAAACUGAGUUGCAUUAAGAGGUUUAAAAAAACUUCACCGUGGUACAUAUUCCACACUCUGGACUCUACCAUCAGCCAGGGACCAGGGGCCACUGGAAGAAUGGUUUUUCCUGUCUCCCUGGAAGAGCAUCAUGGCAAAGGGCAGAUCAAUCUGAUCCCAUCCAUUGGCCAAAGAGGAGCAGAUGAAGUGACUUUGCUUCCAGAAAGAACACACUGCCAGAAGUGGCUCAUUAAAUGGGGCAGAGCUGCUAAUCCAGCUUCCAGGUAGGUGGGUCGCUGUUCAGUUCUGGGAAGGAUGAAGUGGUGGGAACAGUGAUGUAGCAUACAGGGGCCAGGGGGGCUGUGGCCCCGAGCACAAAUUUCUGAGGGGCCCAACCAGACACCCCCACAACAAGUUCCCUCAUCAAAGCCGGAGCUGUGGGGAGGCAAGUCCCGCCUGGGCUGGGCCUUCGGGGCUGGAGCAGUGGCAACACCCACUUCUCCUGGUGGUUGAUGAAGGGACACCCUCAUGCCUGGGGCGGUUGAGAGGGAAGGAGGGUAAGAGGCACUACCGCCACCCACUGAGGGAGAAAGAGGAAAGCAAGAAAGCAUUGCUAGAGUCAUGUGCGUUGCCCAGAGUGCCUUGCUGCCAGGACAGGAGGACGAGGAGACACAGAGGCACUCCUGGUUUUGCGUUCGUCUGCCUUAUAUCUGCUCCCAGGUUGGGGCUAACUUGCAAGGAGAGACUCCCAUUUAUGCUGGCCAACGAAGGGACUGUCUGCUGCCCAGUCCAUGGGGGGGGCACGCGCAAAACCUGCCCCUUUCUGGGUGCCAGCAACCCACGCUAUGCCCCCGGACGAGGAGGUCACUGCUCUGCAAACCCACAUGCAGAAUCAAUAUGGCACCCUUGCUGUUACUUUUGCACUAUGCCAACCUCCUCACCACCUGACCGCCUUCUCAGUCCCAGCAAGCAACAGUGAUCCACCUUCCAGGAAGCUACUGUAGUGACUCUACCCCACUUCUGCAAUCUGCUCCAUAAGGCAGUUGCACUGCAGAGGCACUGCAGAAGCAAGGGGGGAAAGGGCCCCCAGACCCCCAUCCAUUUGUAAAAAGGAAGAGAGCCACUAACCAAUUUAAAAGCAAAAACGCUAGCAAGGGAAGGAAGAUCAGCCUGGCCUGACCUGGAUACAAAUGCCUGUUUAUAGCUCAGCCCUUCGUUCUGCUCUUCAAUAACUAAUCUCCUAAAACACUGUUUCCAAUUUGGCAUCUAACCUUGGACAAAAGCCAUCAAACUGGAUAAAAAAGUUUGCUCCCUACAAAAAAAAGGUGGCAAUUGAAUAGGGAGAAUCCAUGGAGCAUAUCUAAACAUAUAUUGACUGUCAUGGCUGUCCCCCUCACCCUAAGAGUCCUGGGAAUUUUAGUUUGAGUGAAAGUGCCAAUAAUUUUAUUAGAGAUACCUAGUUUUUCUUUCUGAACUAGAGUUUCUUGGGUUCCCUAGUAAACUUCUUCAAGCCUGUGGUGCUGAUAUGUCCACAGAUGCCCCAUAUUCCCCAUUUGGAUUGUGCUAUUUUUAUUGAUAGAGAAAUCAGUCGACUGACACAGAUGCUCUUUGUUUGAGAACGACAAUGUGAAGUUUAUUUCGCGUGCACACAAAAAUGCAAUCCCAAGCUCAGGAGCAGAACAAUGCUUACAGCAGAGCAAUAAGCUCAGUGCAUUAAAAGGCUUGUAUGAAUUAUUUAAAUCGGAUCUGAAGGAUUUAUUAUUUUAAUAAUUAUCUGAACAAUUAUGCAGUUAUUAAGGCACUCUGCACUCAUCUGUUCAACAGGCUUUCAAUUUUUAAAAAGGUUACAGUCAGAAAAUGAAGGUGAUUGAUGAGGAUAUAAUGAUUAAGAGAGAGAAGGGGAGUGGGUCUGCGUGUUCAACACUGUGGAAGAAACACACACACACAACCAAAUACCCAGGAGUCAUUAAGUUGCUAGGACUGCAGGGGCCCUGAUGCAGUUGACACAAUUUCAAAAGGUCAUCCCUCCACCUUCUGAAUUGGCAAUUCCUUGGAGUCUACAGUGUGAAGGAUCAUGGUUUGUUUGUUAAGUUCAUCUGUAAUUCUACAGCAUAUUGCAAAAGGAUCCCUUCCCAUACUUAGCAGUGGGUCUGGAGUCGAAACCUAGCACUCUCCACCCCCCUAAUCUCCCUCGCAAGCUGUCUCUUGUAGAUGCUGCGAGAGCAGCUGUCUUUUCCACUGGCACAUAUUGCAAGAACAUACAGGGUGAAGCGUUGCUUGAAUCUUUUCCAGUUUUCUUCCAUGUUUCCAGAAGGAUUCAUGUCUGGUAACUUGCUUUUACUCGCCUCCAUCAUUAACCCUUUUGUUGCCAUUUAAAAUUGUUUUUAGUAUUUCCAGAAACGUGCAGGCGUUGGAGGGUGUCUCACUCAUGCACCUGGCUAGAGCCAAUCUGUACUUAGGAUAGGGAUCAUUUUGGUUUCUCUCGGUUUCUCAAUUUUCCAGUCUUCUCCACAUUUCUCGAUCACCUUUUUUUUUUUUUAAAAAAAGAAUUCCUCACAUCUCCUCCAUUAUAUGUAUUUUUCCAUGCAAUUUUUCUUACUAUGUUGCAUUUUUUUUGGGGGGGGGUUACAUUAUUUUCAGUAACAUAUUCAGUUUUAUGCAAACUGUACAUGAAGUGCUUUGUAUGCAGAUGGUUCCAGUUUCAAUCCCUGGCAUCCCUAGGUAGGGCUGUCUGAAACCCCCUGUCUGAAACCUUGGAGAGCUUCUGCCAGUCAGUGUAGACAAUAUUGAGCUAGUAUGAGGCUGACUCAGUAUGAGGCUGCUUCAUGUGUUCCUAUAUUGCAAUUAGAUCAUUGUACAUUUUUAUGUGCAUGCAAGCGUGAGCGAGAUUUGCAGGUGAGUCUGCAAAGCAGAAGAGGCAAACAGUUUUCAGAGGUAGAGGACUAAGGUGAUGGAACACUGAAAAUCCAUCAUCUUUAUCACUUGCAGUGUGGCACUUUAACCUCACUAUGUGGAAGUACUGGCAUUUGUUGAAAAAAAUGAGAUGAAGAGGUGGGAAGGAAUCUACCUGAGAGUCUUUCAAGACAUUGCUUGUGUUUUGGAGUCUAUCGAUUUUGAUGGGUAUUUUGUCACUGACUUUAAUGAAGUUAAGACUCUGUCUGAGACAUCUAUUGAAAUGCAUUGCCCAAUUCUCCCGAUCAGUCUUCUGGUUCUCUUAAAUCCAUCACUGUUCCUUCAUAGCCAGAAGUGUUUCGCUGCCUCAUAAAAUGGCAAUGGCUUUUUGUUUGUUUGUACCUAUCACACUAUUGUCCAAGUUUUUGUAACCCUAAGGCAAAGCUCCUGUAAUGUAAACUACAUCUUUGAAAAAAUAUAUGGAACCUUUGGUUGGUGUUCAAUAUUGUCCUCAGUCCACUGAUGGGAGAGGGAGCAUAUAAGCAGCAGCUUCCUCCCUAAGAUAUGCUUCUCUGUGUCCUAUCCAGUGCUCUGCCAAAACUUGUCCUCAACAGCUUUCUCUCGCUAUGAAAGAGGCUACCAUUUUCCUCCCAUGUCAUCAGGGUGGUUGAGCACUUUGGCAGCUAUGGCUCUUUUUUAUUUAUUAAAAAACCUGCAUCCUGCUGUCUCCUAAAAAAAAACCACCACACACAAAAACAAAGCAGUUUACAAGAACCACAGAACAAACCAUAUUAUAAAAACUGCAUGCAAAAAAUAAAAUCUGAGAUCAUCAACUACCUCUUACAGAAAUACAUUUUCGCAAUUGUCUGCGUAAGUCUGGUAGCAUAUAUUUGAUUUUCAGUCCAAUGCUGAAUAUCUGUUGAAAGAGCAUUCACAGGAUUGGGCCAAUGACAAUAAAAGUUCGGUUUCAUGUUCUGGAGGAGGUAUAUACACAAGUAAUCAGCAUUCAGCGGGAGAAGGUCAGGUGGGCCAAAGGUCAGAAUGAGCUUAUGGACCUCCAGCAAAUGGACUUCCAGUGACUUCUUCCAUUCUCUCAAUAGCUGCAUGCGAACAUGCAAUGCUACAGAGAUGUAGUGAUGUGAGAGAGACUCACCUGUUGAAUUUAAGCCUGUUGGGGCAUAGGGGUCCUGCCAGGGUGGAAAGAGGGUGAAAAGUAUUGAGAGUAAAAAGGGGACAGACAUAAGGGACUUGCGGUAAGAUUGUUUCUCAAGUCUCUUUUUCUGCUGCUUAUUUAAUCUUUGGUCACAUGCUUGAUUUGAUAGGACUAUUUUCCCUCAGACGCUAUAGUAGCAAUAUCUCAAAGAUUCCUUGGAUAUCUACAGCCCCUUGUUGAAAUGCCAUUAUCUGGAUUUUGUACCUUGUCUUUCCUAUAAAAACAUUCCUCCUACCCCGCUAUUCUAAUAUUCGCAGUUGCUGUUUCCCAUUAUUUCCAUCAUUCGCUUUUCAUUCUCAUUGUCUCUGCUUUAUUAAGUUGUCAUAUUAUUAUUUGAUCAAGUGUGCUCCCUUCUUUUGCACUCCAAUUAUUGUAACACUUAAAUUCCCCUUGCAACUCAAAGGAUAUUAGUCAUGAAACAAAUUGAUGGCCCAGCUCUCUAUUCUGGGCUUACUAUUGUGUGAGACAACUUUCAUUUCUGUGUGCAUCUGGCAUAACCCACACCUAUGAAAUUCUUAUUCCCCCCUCAUUUCAAAUGUGGCCAACAACAUUGUUUUGAAAGGAUCAAAACAGAUCCCUCAGGUGUUGCUGGACCACAGACCCUCCCAAUUCUGACCACUGACCAUCCUGUCUGGGGCUGUUGGGAGUUGAGGUCCAAUAACAUCUAGAAGCCCAUAGGUUAUCCAUCCAACAUCUAGAAGCUCCCAUAGCAGAAUCUGGAUUGACGGUGUGGAGGUGGCUUAAAUAAAGUGGAGAUUUUCCUUUGAUAAGUUGGUCCAAACAGUAGUGGCAACAAUUUGAAUAGAGCAGCAAAGAAUCAUGUGUGUGGUUGGUAUAAUUUCUGCAAAAAUAAUUUUCGAUAAAAUGUUAACCUUUAAUGACUUUGCCAUCUUGGUUUUCACCUGAUUUUAAGCUCUUUUAAUAGUCAAACCUACCACAUUGAUUAUGUACCAAGACACUAAUUUUACUGACUGAACCUUUUACAGGUCCCUUUUAUCCUAGGCUAUUUCCCCCCUCAUCUUUGUUAAGAGCAUGUUCACAUAUUAGGGUGCAAGGCACUUUAACUCCUAUGUACAGCAUCGGCUUGUGAGAGCAGGGCAGAGGCAGCUGUGUCUUCCUGGUGGAGCCACUGCAUUCAUGGGGAUGGGACAGGGUGAGGCAGCAGCAAGGUUGCACAAGAUCUCCUGGUUUCAUUGUCUCAUCCCAUCCCUCACCCAAAGAGCAUAACUCCAGUAAAUUGGCACUGAGCUCCCCAUUUCUUUUCCCCUCUCACUCUCCCUCCUGGUAAGAACCUUUGCUUUAGAAUGGUAAGAUUCUGAAGACAAGUAUGUCGGAUAUUCUGCUAGGACUGCUGAUUGACCAAAACAAUAAUGGAUCUAGCUGAGAUUGUUUUGCCAGAAUUCUGUUGCCAGAUUUAUUCAUUUAUUUAUUUGUCAGAACCAGAUGCCUGCUGCUUGUUUUUAGAAAUAUAGAUACGCUGUUAAGUAAAAGUCAGUAUACAUGUUUGAAUAGUGUAAUAAGCACAUUUACCAGGGUUUCCAAAAUUUGGGUCUCCAGCUGUUGUUGGACUACAACUCCCAUAAUCUCAAGCUGCCUGGCCACUGGUCAGGGAUGAUGGGAAUUGUAGUCCAAAAGCAGCAAGAGACCCAAGUUUGGGAAACCCUGACCUAUACAGUAGUAGAGCAUGGAAAAGGAUCCUGUGACCCUGAAGAUGAUGAUAUGGACUACAGCUCCCAUCAGCCCCAAGCAGCAUGGCCAAUCAUCAAGGAUGAUGGGAGUUGUAAUCCAACAACAUCUGGUGGCUUCCACGGGAGCCAUUCCUGCACUAGAGUGCUAGGUGGUUGUGCUCCAUUUCCACGCACCAUUUCACAAUGUAGCAAAUUCACUGCUUACAGCAUCCCUGGUGGGUGAACAUCCUGCCUCUGCUCAAGAACCUCUAAUGAAGGAGAUCUUGCCACCUACCUAGGCAGUCUGUUCCACCGUUUUGUGCAGUUUGUACUGUCAGGAAGUCCUGACAGUACAGGAUUUCCUCAGAAGGUCGUCAAGGAUUCUCAAUGAGAGAAUCAAUCAUAAUGGACAAACUUUUCUGGAAGACAGUUUGCCUGCCACUACAUCUUUUCCACUGUAAUCCAGGGCAAGAAAGGAGGGUCCGGCAAGUUCCAGUGUGGGCUUGCAGUCCAUGUAGGUUGACGGUCUGGUACAACAGGCCAAGCCUGUGUCAUGUAUGGGACAGCUGCUUCCAACCAAGUCAGACCAUCUGGAAAAGCAUUCCAUAGUGACUGGAAGCUUCAGACAAGAAUUUUCCACUCUACCUGGAGAUGUGGUGGGUUGAACCUUCUAUGUGUAAAGUAGGUGCUCUCCCAUCGAGCUACAACCCUUCCCAAACUAUGAACUCUUUCUGUAUGCUUCAGAGCAUAUCCCAGAAUCCUCUGGAAGGAUCCAUAGUAGACAUACAUGUUUCCCAACAGAUGGGUUGAGAAAGUGUUCCUGAAUGUAGAAAGUUUGAAAACUACUGCCUCAAAUCUACCAUGCAGGACAGGUAUUUGUUUCCCUCCCCUUAAAAUUAUGAAAAAAUAUUCUAAUAUAGUGUAUUUAGGGAACUUUAACAAAUGAUAAGUGGGCAGAGGAGUUAAAAAUAAGCAAGCUUUCUACUAUAACAUAAUAAGCAGUAAUGCAAUGAAUUUGUCAUCAUGCAAACUCUGAAACUUAAGGACAUAAUUAUUUCUCCUUGUCUUCCUAAUAAGUGGUAGGCAUGGAUAAAUUCCCUUCUGAGUGUGCACUUAAUCAGGGCAGCCGUAAUUGCUGCUUUACAGCAGAAAAUGCAGGAAACUCGAAUACCAUAUAUUUCUGUGAAAAGACAUUCUGAUUUCCACUAACUAAAUAAAUAGUGGAACGAAGAUAAAGCACUCAUCCAUCUACCCAAAUUCACUGUAGCUCAUGACUCCUUUGAGUGCUUUUGAAUGGUUUUGUUCAGUUUCCCCUUAGAAAAAAUAACUCCUGUAAUAAAAUUACUGGGUAUAAAAAGACAUGAGAAAAACAUUAGGUUUCAGGCAAACAGAAUGCUUAAAGCGUUGCUUGCAAGGAAUAUGAAGUUGGGGAGGGGGGUGACUCCUUGAUCAUGAAGACAGCUGCAUCAACGUAUUGAGCUCCACUUUUCAAAAUAUUGAGCUCCACUGCAGUUUUCCUGCAGUGUACAAAGUGAUAUUACAAAAUAUAGAUAAUACCCAAGGGAUGAACAGAUCGGUCUAUUUCCAGUCUGUGUUUAUUUCACAUGUGUUCUUUCAUAAAUCCAAACUGAACAAUUUCUGCAUUCCCCCCAACCCGCCCCCCAGUAUCAGUAGUUUUCUUUCUCUUAAACUAAUGUUUAUUUAUUUGCCUCUUAACAUGUUGCUCAAUUUUUCUGACCUCCUCUCAGAUCCAACCAGCCUCCACUGUGCCUCAUUCCAAAAGGAAGCAUGAACCCUGGGAGAUUGGGGUGGCACAAUUUAUUAUGCAUCCCCACUGCACUGAGUUUCCUUUGCAAUGAAAUGAAUGGGGUGGAAUAAAGCAAUGACAAUGUACUUUCCAUAAUUACAUCAGUUACAUAAUUUCACCAGAGUGGGCAGGGAGACAAAUAACAUAGGUUUGGGGGAGAAGAUGAACUAGGGGAAGAAAGAUAAGCUCCCUGGUGAGAGGGUCUACUUUUUUGUGUAUGGGAAAAAAUGGAUUGUAUGGGGGGGGGGAGAGGUCUUUUGUAUUCAUUUUGUUCUUUCUGUUUGUUCUUCUGCCUCUCUACUUUCCUUUUUUAUUAUUAUUUAGGGUUUUCUUUUUUCUUUUUCUUUAGAUGACUUUGGCUUUUAUUGUAUGCUGUGUAGAAAACUUUCAAUAAAAUUAUUUACAAACGAGAACUACACCAUAAAAUUCAGAGAAAUGCGUUGCUUUGGAAGGUGCAAAUUAGGCGGGUUUCUCUUUAAGUUGUUGUUGUUGUUGUUUAGUCGUUUAGUCGUGUCCGACUCUUCGUGACCCCAUGGACCAGAGCACACCAGGCACUUCUGUCUUCCACUGUCUCCCGCAGAUUGGUCAGACUCAUGUUUGUAGCUUCGAGAACACUGUCCAACCAUCUCGUCCUCUGUCGUCCCCUUCUCCUUGUGCCCUCCAUCUUUCCCAACAUCAGGGUCUUUUCCAGGGAGUCUUCUCUUCUCAUGAGGUGGCCAAAGUAUUGGAGCCUCAGCUUCACAAUCUGUCCUUCCAGUGGGCACUCAGGGCUGAUUUCCUUAAGAAUGGAUGCGUUUGAUCUUCUUGCAGUCCAUGGGACUCUCAAGAGUCUCCUCCAGCACCAUAAUUCAAAAGCAUCAAUUCUUCUCUUUAAGUGCAAACCAUCAAAUUUCUCCCCCAUUCCUAGUUGUAAACAGGACUCAGUGGCUCAAUGCAGGCUCCAUGAGACAUCUUCAAGGCUUUGUUUGUGCAAAGCAUCACUGUGUCAUCGUUUCUUCACAGAAUUUAGCCCAUCUGGACGUACUGCUUUCAUGCUUCCAGUCAAGUGAUUUCCCCCUCCUCCUUUCCCUGCCACCAGGAUAAUAUGAACAGACAUCUGUGCCAACUUUGAAAACAAACAAGCAUAUGUUCCAUCCCAAACAAGGAUGCAUGGAAGCAUUCAAAUGUACAAAUGCUUCAUUUAUGGCUGAAUGAAAGAUUCAAAUCAAGUAACUAAUAAUAACAAUAAUGUAGCACAUGGAUAGCUCCUGGAACAAACUGGAUGCAUUUGGAGUCAAAACCUGAACAUCUUCCUUCCUGCAGAGAAGCAGGAAGUACAAACAGUGUUCCAGGAUACCCCGCGGUCCCUUUGAAUGUCACUGGAGUCCUUCAUAGAGAAUAGUAGCAGUGGCAAACAAGAUUCCCUGCAACUGAGGUCACCACCUCUUCUUCUCUUGCAGUCUGCAUCCAGCAAGGCAUGCAUGGAGUGUGGGAAGAAUUCUCGGAAAGACUUCCAACUCAAGCAGCUCAGCGGUGAAACUCGACACACUUUACAUGGAACAAGUUGUGUAACCCUUUUGGAGCAUGCCUCAGAGUCCUUUGCUAAUGUGCUGUGGUUCUGUACCAGACAUGCAAGGAUUCCUUGUCAGCAGUAGCAGGCAGAGGGGUGGAAUGAGGCUGCUCACCCGACCUCUGGCCAUUUGGAUCGCUGCUGCUUAUGGGGAGGCAGAGGGGAACAGGUGAGGGAGGUGUGGGGCAGAUGCACCAGAUGCCAAAAUGAGUGGCUUCACCCCACUGUGCCAUCCAUUCCUCCUUGUCAGAUUCACUGCUCUUGAUAAUAGGAAAUUUGAAAACCAUGCCACUUUAACAAUUGGCACUCCGACUUGCUUUCUCCCUUCUCUCCCCUCCCGGUUCCUUAUUGAUUUUGUGCUGUCUUUUAGAUUGUAAACCUGAGGGCAAGGGAUUAUCUUGUAGACCACUUUGUCUUUUUGAUAAGGAGUGGAAUAACAUGUUUUAUAUUAAACCACUGAUAUGCCCUAAUGAAUGAAACCACACUGAACCACCCCACACAUGCCAUUAACAUGGAAUAAAUGAAUGGUCAUUUAAAUGUUUGUUGCCAAUUAUCCACACACUAAAUAUAAACACCUGGAUGAAGAUUUAUCUGCUUAUAUUAUAUUAUAUCUGCUCAUGAACUUGCUCCAAGCACCAAGGACUAAAGUGACCCAGGGUCAGUUUCAUGAUAUAUGCAGUAAUAUUUUACUUUUCAAUUUAGUUUUCAGCAUGCACAAAAUGAUAGGAGGACUGAAUUUAAGAAAUAUGCUUCUUUGUAUUUGGGGAUUCAUAGCCUUAAUUUGCUAAUAUUUGGACAGCUGGUAGGCUAUUCAGGGAGAUAUUUGCAAACUGUGAAGCUACAAUGUUAUUUAGCACCAUUAAUGAUUUAUAUGAAAUUUCACAGAUUUGGCUACUUGUUACUUAUUAACUCAUUAGAUGAUAAAACAAUGGUUCCUUAAUUGGGUUUAAAAUUGCAAACCUUGGACAGCUGAUGAAACAUUCCCUCAGAAGUGGGGGGGGGGGGGAAGCAAUCACAGAAAUAUAAAUAGGCACGGUUUGAGGAACAGAGGUUUGUAAAUUCAUUGUGCAGUGAUUUGAAAAAAGAUAUAGAUAGAUAUAUGCUAUAAUCAUCCAGUGCCUUCUUAGUGCAAAUAACAAUUCUGAAUCACUAUGAUACAUAGCAUGAUGCCUAUACAUGCAUGCAAAGCUUUCCAUCUGGAUAUGGGUGGUGUGGUUGUAUUUUUCCUAGACAGCAUGAAAUGCUAGUUUACCAGUGACUUAGUUGUGUGUGUGUGUGUGUACAGAGAGGGGAGCUCCUUGGGGUUCUGCUGCAGGAAAGGAUGCUUUGGAUAAUUCUAAGCAUUACAUCUUGCACGCACACAUCUGCACACACAAAAAUCACACCACACCAAACCCAAGUCAUCUAGCAAUAGCUCCACUUUAACAAAUUAAAGCUAUUAUACAUUUCCUCUUAUUUUCUUAAUACAGCACUAACAUGUUGCUGUUACCAUCUAUAAUGCUUUUACAAAGGAGUUUUUCUCUAAUCUUCCAGUGUGACAAGGAAAAAGGAUGGGAAUAUGUAAAUAGGCAGAAAGAGAAAGAUCUAUUCAUGCAAUUGCUACAUUUUUAUCCACCUUAUCUUUGCAAACCCCAUGUAUGAGAUUUCCAAUUUCAAGUGCUUUCUUGUUCAGGACUAGUGGCUGGCAGCCAUAAGUAGGAGAUUGCUUACUGACUCAAUGUCAUGCUUGCAGGCUUCCCAUAGGCAUCUGGUUGUCCACUGUGAGAACAAAAUGCUGGACCAAAGAUGACUUGGAGUGAUCCAGCAAGGUUCUGACGUUCUUAUGUCCAAGGGGUGGAACUAUAGCAGUGGGGUGAGAAGGGGUGGGGGUGGGGAUGAACAAUGUUCUCCAGGUUCACCUCUACCAGGCACACCAACUUGGGUAGGAGAUAACAGGGCUGAUGUUGAGCACGAUGCCACAGUAUCAGGACGUUGUAUCUGAGUGUUGCAUACAGCAUCAUGAUGCCCGGACGCUGGACACAGCAUUGUUGCACACAACAUCUGGGCGUUGUGUGGGAGCCCCACUUUCAUGACUGGCAAUGCUGGUGGUUCCUCCUCCUCCUGCCUCCACCAAAAGGAAAAGGAUGUGAAAGGGUAAAUGGAUAAGGUCAAUAAAGGUAAAAGAGAUAGAGUAAAUAGCUGCUGUCAUCUCAAAGCAACGGUAACAAUAGUAACUUCAAAGCAACAGUAACACAUUACUUAAGUUUACAUGCAUGUUGCAUAUUGUCUUUUUAAGUAAUAAUAACAUAUUGUUUCUAAUAGUAAGCCAAAUUUAUUUUACAACUUACCUGCAAGUAAACGUGUUAUGUUUUGUUUAUAAAAGGCUUUAAUAAAGCUUGGCAUCGUUGCAGAGCACGAAACUCCAGUUUGUUUUGUCCCAUGCCUACAGCCAGUCACUGUAUUUGGGGAAAACGGGUAAGAAGUAAAUAAAAGUGUCUUGAAAUAAAUGGUGCUGGGGAGCAGAAAAUGAUAAAAGAAACCAAGUAUUUGAUUUAGCUGAAGGUUUAAAGUGGUGGCAAAAUUAGUUGGGUCAGAAAGCACCAGGGCCACAGUUCUCGAUAAAGUCCAGGCACUAAUGGGAUAGAAACUCCCUGUUGUCCCACCGGAGCCUCCUCAGGCUGCUAUGCACUUAUGUGCAAGCCAUCCAUCAGAAUCCCUAAUUCUUUUGCUUCUCAGUUUCUCAGACAUUCCACUCGAGCACGGCAUAUGUUUCCUCUGUACAGUUCCUCUCUUUUCAUGCAUAUUUUUAGCAUUUGUGCAACAUGCUCUCAAGUACAGCAAGUGGCUGUGUGUGUGUGGCUGGGUAUGUCUCUCAUGUGAUGCUGCCAGUAUUAAAUACUCCCUAAUUUCUACCCUGCCAAGAAAUAAAACUUGGCACACCUGAAACGUGCAGCUGGCCACCCUGCUUCUUUGACUUACCUUUUCAAUUCACUUCUUCAAUUCUGCCUUGUGCUUUCUCGUCUCUUUUUAAAAAUUAUGUCUGCUGGAGACAUCGGUGUGGUGGACUAGGGAGUGUUUGUCAUGGAUAGUUAGAAUUUUUUUUUUUUAAAAAAGAAGAUAUUGCGUGGAUUCCCAGGCAAAAGAAAAGCCCCAGAAGCUAAAUAUGUCCCUCCAAGCCUCUGUAUCUGACCCACAGGACUCUUCCCACACCACAUAUUUUCCACAGUCACUUCUGUCUCCCUCACCAUCCUGCUUUGCACCCUCCGUGAGAUGUUUUGCCUUGCUGGAAUGUGUCCUUGAACUUGGAUAAUGUUUUUGGUUGCCUGCAUGGAGGAAAGAGAGGUACGUGUCUAGAAACUAACCUAUUGCACAAAGGUAAACAUUGCGUUUGUUGCUCUGUCCAUUUUUGCAUGUGGCCCCUGGAAGGUUGUUUCACUUGGGGUGAAGAAGGAUCCUUCACCCUGCUAUUAGGGAUGCCCUCUUCUCAGUUUAAAGGACUGGGUUGAUAGAUAUUGCUAGUGGAAUAUUUCUUUCUGAUCUGGUCCUUGUGUUGGGGUGUGUGGGGAGUUAGGAGAGGCAUAGAACCUCUGGUGUGGGCCAUGCCAUGCUCCUUCUGGGAUAGCUUGUCCACCUUUGGACACCACCCUGCACUCAGCUCUCACCUGUGGCUCCUAGAAGCUGUCAGCAUUCAGCAGCAGAAACACUGGUAACAGCUUUGAGAGGCCAGCUAAACCAGGUGAGGGUAGUCAAUCUGUAACAAACCCUCUUGAGUUAGGGCAUUCCCCUGCAUGCAAAGACAGGAGACAAGACUAAAAGUGGGUCCCACGGUCAAGAAGGUGGUUUCUGCAUGUGCUGAAGAAGGAAGCGAGGAACAGUUGGGGCUCAUCAACCUGGGAAGGUAGCCCAUCUAGGAGCAGGAAAACUCUGGUCCUAAACCUCCACUGCCUCGUGGAAUAUCUUUGGGAGAAGAAAAGGCUAUGGAGUAAACCCUACAAAAAUCUGGAGUGGAGUCUCUAAGACAGUUGUGUGGCACCUUGAACACCUCCUUCUGACAAUUCCUGCAGCCAAGUUGUUGCCAAAUGUAUUGUUCUGCUUUCCUUUGGACCACAUUGGGGGGCGGGGAUGUCUUGUCAUCUGGGCAGCCCAGGACCUCCAUAUAUACUGCCCAGGCUUCCACCUUGGGGAGUUCACUUUGUUGCCACUAACACAGUGGUUUGACUUCACCCCUGGAGGCGCACGCCAUUGUCUCUUGAGACACGGGUGCCAGUAAGGUCCUUGUGUAGAAAUAAAUUCUUCAAUGCAAGAAGAAUAAGUUCUAAAGCUUUACUUGCAGAAAUUCGGUUACGAAAACAAUAAAUCUGUUACAUUUGUCUUCGUCUUACAAAGUCCCUGACCACUGAUCCCAGCGUGAUGACUUCAAAAACCUUUACAGAAGAAAAUAUAGCUAUCCAGAUAAAAUACCAGCUCCAUGGAAGCAUAGAAUCAUAGAAUUUUUGAGUUGAAAGGGACCCCAAGGGUGACCUGGUCCAACCCCUUGCAAUUCAGAAAUCUAAGCUAAAGCAUCCAUGACAGAUGGCUGUCCAACCUCUGCUUAAAAACUUCCAAGGAAAGAGAGUCCACAGCCUCCGGAGGGAAACCAAUACCAAUAAUGUAUUAAAUGUAUUUAAAAUACUAAUAAUGUAUUUAAACAUUCUUUACAGUAACUUGGAUACAAUGCAUUUAAAAUAUACAGCAUUUUAUGUAAUAUUAAACAUAAUUUCAUCAUAGCAAGAGAGAAUCUCGGGAUGAGCCAAUCUGUUCAAAUGUGAGAUGUAUUCUAUUAGGGGAUCCAAGGUCCCUUUUCCAGGAUGCAACACAAAUCCCAUUUCAUCACUAAAGUCCCACACGUAGUAGCUAACCUCAUUCACAAUAGUAUUCAAAAAUGAUCAGGGUGAUGAUUAUACAAUAUCUAGAACUUGCUUAAACACGUUUUCAGCAGGGAAGAAAACCCUGCUUCCUACAUAAAAAAGAACCAUUGUAUGUUGACUCUUAAUGUUUCAGCUGACAUGAGAGCUAUAACAGAUCACAGCGGAAGAGAGCAAAACUGAAAUGCAUCUCUAUGAAACACACAUAAUAAAAAUGUUAGUAAGCAAAAUAAGGUCUAAAAUAAAAGGAGAAUAGAUAAUAGGAAAAAUAAUGUGAUACUAAACCACAGCUUCUAGUUUGGAAAAUUAUAUAUAUAUGAUAUUAAACAAAACUAUUACCAAAUGUUUGUUAUGUCUCAUCCCUAUAAAUGUGUUUGCGUAUAUUGCUGGUAUCAUUCUAGUUUUUCCUAUUUAAAAAAAUAUAUUCUUCCUUCACAUGAUCUCAGCUCUUCAAAAUCUCCCAUGUUGUAAACCCAGUUUCAGGAUGCCAUGAGAGCCACAAAACUGCUGCCAUUGUGCGUCCCUUUCUCAUUUCUUGCUGGUAAUGAAUGACUAAGCAUAGUGUUAUCUAGGGAUAGGUGAAUCUGUCGAUUUCAAUUUCUCUCAGUUAUUCAUUUCCCCCCAAUAUUUCCUCUCAACUUUUAUUGUCCGUGUCUGCUACCUUCAAGGUUAGAUUACUGCAAUGUGUUAUAUGUAGGGCAGCCUCUAGAGUUGGUUCAACUGAAGCAGAAUUUGGCGACCACUGGGGCAAGGUGGGUUGGGCAUAUUACACUGAUCCCGGCAGGCAAUUAGUUUCCAUACUCAAUUCAAAGUGCUGGUUUGGACCUAUAAAGCCUUAGACAGCUCAGGACUGCAAUACCUCAAGGACCACCUCUCCCCAUAAGAAAUGACUUGGACCCUGCGAUCAUCAUCUGAGGCCCUCCUCUGUAUGACAUCUCCAUGAGAAGUCAGUGGCCUUUUCUGUGGUAGCUGUCUGUUUGGGGAAUGCUCUCCCCAGAGAGGCUCGCCUGGCAGCUUCAUUACAUACCUUCAGGAGCCAGGCAAAAAUGUUUUUCUUUUGUCCUUUGACUGAUUCUGUGUCCUUUUAAAUGUGUUUGUGGGAGGAGGGUUAUCGGGUUGUUUCUGUUCUUUUUUUAAAAUGUAUUUUGUGUUAUCAUAUUGUAUUAUGUUGUGGACCACCUUGUAGUCUUUGGAUGAAAGGCAGUAUACAAAUUUCAAUAAUAAUAAUAAUAAUAAUAAUAAUAAUAAUAGUAGUAGUAGUAGUAGUACAGUGGUACCUCGGGUUAAGUACUUAAUUCAUUCUGGAGGUUCGUUCUUAACCUGAAACUGUUCUUAACUUGAAGCACCACUUUAGCUAAUGGGGCCUCCUGCUAACGCCAUGCCGCUGGAGCCCAAUUUCUGUUCUCAUCCUGAAGCAAAGUUCUUAACCUGAAGCACUAUUUCUGGGUUAGCGGAGUCUGUAACCUGAAGCGUAUGUAACCCGAGGUACCACUGUAGUCUUAUUACAAAUAUGUUAUUACAUGGUGCAUUUCUUCAACACAGUUCUCUAGGAGGGAAUAAUACAGAGGGCAAGCAUCUUGCAUCAUGCUUGGUGUGAUACUAGAUAUUUUGUCCUCUCUUGUGACUUCUGCUGGCUGAAAUUACUCUUUACAUGGCAAAAUUAAUUUCCUGCAACAUCUAUUUUCUCUCUUUUGUUUCAUUUGGUGGGGUUUUCACAUCUGCUACAUCUCUUCAACAAGCUGGUGAAACAACCUUCCAUGGCCUUGUUAUAUAACUAGCAAAAGUUACUAUAUCUGGAAUUACAUUUGUCCACAACAUUUGCUGCAGAGGGCAAAAUUAUGUGUUUUUAUUAUUUCAUGCAGUUUAUUUAUACUCCUGCCAAGGGCCUUGGUAUCUUUUUGCAUAUACUAUCUUAAUCUAGCUUAUAAGCAAUGAAGAAUCUUGUGCUAGGCAAGUUUCAGCACAGAGGUUUUAGCAGUUCAAUAACAUGCCUUUAAUAGAUAAUGUGUUGGCUUGUUAUAAAUGUUACUUUGAAGUUCUACAUAUUCCAGUUAUUCUUACUGAAAUUUGAGCAGGCUUCUUUUAAUGAAGUAUUAAGGAAUCUAGAUAUUAAACAUGAACUAGUGGUAAUUUUGGAAGCAAAACUGAGAGCGAGAGAGAAAGAAGGAGUGCAAAGGUAGCCUUAUAAAUGGUAGAAAUUGACUAUUCAGCAAAUAUUGUUUCAGUGUAUUGUUUACCAUUUAUGAGAGCUGGGCCUUGUGCAGUAUAUCUUGCAUAUUAGUAGAGUAAAGGUCAAGCAAUUUUCAUUUUGCAAGGAAUUUUGUAGAUAAGCAGGGUUCCUAAUGGUUUCCAAGAAGGUCAUUUAAUAAUUGGGCUGUCUUUGAGACUUAUCUUGCAAACCUCAAGGAGGGGAAGAGGCGGUGGUUAAUUUCUGAAGUGAGAUGCCAGGGUUCCAAGCAACCUUGAAGCCACAUCCUCUGACCUGCCACACCUGACCCGAAUCUCAGGUGUCUGUAUAGGUGCCCAGGCUUAUUUGUGAAAAGCAAAAGACAUUCCCAUUCAGAGGCAUUCCUAGUCUAACCUGCCUCACAGGGUUGUUGAGGAUACAAUGAAAAGGGAAUACUGUACAUGCCACCUUGAGAUCAUUAGGGGAAUGGUGGGAUAUGAAUAUGAUAAAUUAAAAUCUCAAGGCUAAUGUGGCAUGCCCCUCCCCAAAUAACCUAGUUAAGACUUCAAGAGGGGGAGCUUGCAUGUGGUAGGAAAGUAAGUAAUUCUAUGUAUAAUCAGGAACCAUUGACUUAAGAGCCCCAGUAUCUUUGUAGAAAGAGCUGUCUAAUUUUUUUCUUAUUAGCAUACCGCCACACGUUAACAAUUUCUGGAGCACCCUUUACAUAAAAGACACCUGCUGCAAAGGGGGAAAAAUAAUGAAAAUAACAACAGCACAUCCCCUAAUUAUAAAAUGAGAAGACUUUCUCGUAGGAAGUAAUUAAUGCUGGUUAAUUAUCUGAUGAGGCUUAUUCAGAUUUUAGGUGUUCUAAAAGAAAAGAGAAAAACAACAAAUCACCUCUAAAGCUAACAAGAUCACUGCCUUAUUAAAAAUGCAUUCAUUACUGAAUUUUAAUGGUAACAUUUGUCAUGUGAAAACUUCCUAUUCUGACUCGUCCUCAAAACUAGAGCUAUUAAUAUGAAUAAUGCCUAUUCAAAUUACUUUUAAAUAUUUAAAACACUCUACUGUUUAAGCCCUUGCCAUAUUUUAUUUCUUUGCAGGGCACAGGUAUUGUAGCUGUAAAAGGUGAAAAAUCACUGGAUGAAGUCAAGUAUUAUGAGAGUUCCUGAAGUAACACAGGUAAUUCAAAGUUCACAAUUCCAUUAUAAUACUAAUGGGCAUUAGAUUAAAAAAGAUCAGCUUGUUUUCUGAGUUUGGAUAAGAACUGAUAAAGCUUUCUGCUACUGUGGAAAGGUAGCAGAAAGGUGGAAUACGUAGGUUUUGCUGGUCCUGCAUGGAAUAUAGCUUUGAGAGAUGCUGUGGACGAAGGUGCUUAGCUCAGUAGUAGAACAUCUGCUUUGCAUGUAGAAUGUACCAGAACUAGGGUUAGGAAGGUGAAAAGUCAGCUUAGUAGUUGCAUGAAGGGGAAGCUCUAGGGAGUUGACGUUGGGGAAUGGCAGGGGGGUUGAUGAGUGGCAGAGACAGGGACACAGCCCCUAGGAAUAUAUAUUUUCUCUCUUUUAAGCUAACAUCUACAUUGUACACCUCUUCAUUUUGAGGAGUAGAGUGAUGUUGUUCUAAAUUAUCCUUCUUGUGCCUCAGAUCUAUCAAAGAAAGUAGGUAAUUCUUAAUUUCUGAUGUGUUUGUGCUACUAAGAUGUCUAGGAUUCCAUUUAGAACCAGGGACUCAGCUCCAUUAGUAAAGAAACAGUGACUUGAAUGCACUAUAAACAUGCAACACUAGAAGGCACCAUGGAGCAGGAAAUUUUAAAACACGCUUUUCCAUAGGGAUUUCUUUCUUUUGUUAUAACAAUCUAAUUUCUGACUUAUUUAUAGCGUGUUUUCCCCCUGUGUCUAGAUCUACCCCAAGUGACCAAUUUCACUGAUGCUUAUAUAUUAAUGUUUCAGUUCAGAAUUCCACUUCACUUUCACCAUUAUGUUCUUAAGGUUGCUUUCUGUUUUGUGGUCCAGGGAGUAACAUCUGUGGCUGAGUUUUACCAUGUGAUAUUUGUUCUUUUCUUUAUCUGCAAAAGUGCUGAUUGGAGCUCUGCUGUGUUGAAUUAAGCUAAUGCAUAGAUAACUGUCCUAAGAAAGUCUGUAGAUAUGAGAAACUUGAACUUUAUCUGCUAAAUCUCUGGUUCCUCACUGGGAAAGUAGAAAAUGCCAUUUUAGAUGAGACCAGUGAUUCAAAUAUAGUUACGCUGAAAUUAGUAGCAGAUGCUUCAGUAACCAGGCGUAAAAAAUGACACAAGGGACAGAUUUUUGGAACUAACUUUCUGUGGGGGAUUCCUCCUCCAAUCCUAUUCCCUCCCAAAUAGAUUUGAUUGAUUCCACCCCUCUUGAAAUCUUUUGUGGGUUUUAGUAUCAUUUACAGUAAGACCAAAAAAAUAGUAGCAUGGAUUUGUGGAGGGGCAGGAGUAGAAUACAGGUGGACUGGCAUGAAGGCAGGUGAUAGGAGACCAUUCAAGAACAGCAGAAGAUUCUCCAGGUGUUAAGAGCAUUGUUUGCCUGAAUGACUACAGUGAAUUGUUAUGAGGUUUGGGGAUGAGGGAGAAAGCAAGCAGGAAUGGCAUGGCUCUUUAUUAGAAACCAGUAGUUGUGCAAUAGGAUAGAAUCCCUGAGGGGUCUCUUCUGAUGAAAAAGAGAGUCCAGGCAGCUGGAGGAGGAUGAAUGCCUUCUCUCUAAAUCAGGGAGGGGGAAACUGUGGCCCUCUGGCUGUUGUUGGACUUCCAUCCGUCCCAGCCAACAUGGGUAAUGAUAGAGAUGGUGGAAAUUAUGGUGCAGAAGUACCGUCUGCUCCUGCCAUUGCUGCCUGGUUCAUGGGCUAAGUGAAUGAUGUUGCACUAUGAAGACAGAUCCUUUUUAGAGUUUAAGCAGUGCUUCCCUGCAUUUCUUUUUCAGCAUGGGGGAACCUUUGUUGAUUCCCAUCUGUGGAUAUGCACGUACAUACUGAAAUACUAAGGGCUCAGAUUUUUUAUUUUUAUUUUUUGAGAUUGUAUUGGAAAACAGGAGAAAGUGGUUAGGUAUGUGAGCUGCAAACCACUUGGAAUUUCAUAGGUCAAAUCCAAUGUCUGGAAAUUGUGGCCAGAAAGCUACUGGAAUCAUUUGAAGUGCAGACCCUGAAGUCAAGGAGAAAUGUGCUCCAGAAAUCAUUCCUAUUUAGAGAUGGGCGGCCAACUCCCCCCACUCCUCAAAUCAUUUGCAACUUCCAGCAAGUUAUCAAGGGCAGCCUGAAGCAUGGCUUAUUAACACUAGUCCAGCCUCAAGGCUUCAAAGGAGAUGGUAUGUAAGUUGCCACAACAAAAUCUCAAAGGAAAGACCCAGAGUCUUCUCAUCAUACACAUGGCAGUGUAAAGUGCUUCUGGCCUCUGCUGAUGCCUAAAGCUCCACUAGAUUUAGAAGAACCUAAAAGCUCUGAUCUUGCACACGGGUACAUGAGAGAAAAAGUUUAGUUGAACUCAGCUGCAAUUUACUCCUGAGUAACCACAUACAGUAUUGCAUAUAAGCACAUAUAUCGUAUCGGCAGCAACUACGAAAACAAAACCCUCUUUUGUUUGGAUUGACGCUGUGCUCUGGAACGUUAGGGUUUACCAUUCUUGUUAGCAAACCACCUAUGAAAUUCUGUUUACACUUUUACUGCUUGGGAAUGGACAAACAGAUUGCGAUUGAUCAAGACCUUUUCUAGAAGAGUGGCUUGAAAUUGCCUCCAUGAACAAAUGCAAAAGGGUCACAAACCCACCUAGUCUGCUGAAUUUAAUCAAGCAUACUUGUCUUCCAAUGCCUGGUGUGUGUGUGUGUGUGUGUGUGUGUGUGUGUGUGUGUGUGAUUGGGGGCUACUGUCAAUGGACAUAUGUCACUAUCCAGACACCACUAUGAUGGCCUGAAGGUGGCUCAGUUGGUUAGAGCAUUGUUCUGAUAAUGGCAAGUUUGUGGGUUUAAUCCAGCUGCAUUCUCCUGCAUUGCAGGUGGUUAGACUAGACGAUUCUCUGGGUCUCUUACAACUCUACAGUUCUAUGAUUCAUUCUAUGAUUCUAUAAUACCAGAAGCAGCUAUGAUUCCUUGUAUUCUAUAACCAAAAAAAGAAGAAAAGAAAAAGGGAAGAAAAAAAAAGAAGAAAAGGGGGAAAAAAGAAAGAAAAUGAUUGAGGUGCUAACUUUGCACAGUUAGUUAAGGAGCUUGGAGUAUUUCUGGCACAUUGUUAAUUUCCAGUCCAAAGUCUAGCUUUCCCGUAUUCUUAGAAUUUUCGCACUAUGCCAAAAUAACUAAUAAUUAGCACACUAAACCCAUUACAAACCUCUUAACACCAGGCAGAGAAUACUUACGAAUUCUCUGCAACAAAAUACAAAACCUACUCAUUAGCAAUUAUAUUGAACGGUUUGCUUCCAAGAUGCCACAAUGCAGGCAUAAUUAGCCAAUUAAGGAACAAAAUAAAUAAUUAUCAAAUAUAAAAGUGAAAGGGAGAGUGUGGGCAAUUUCCCUCUGGGAACAUAAAUACAUUUCCAAGAGUCCAGGCGACAUUGGCAGCCCCUUUCUUUGUGUGAAGCAUCAUGCUGAUUUUUUAUUUUAAAAAAUAAUAAUAAUACAGAUAAUUCUGCAGAUGCAUGAGAAUUUUCUCUGCAGCUAUGGGGCAGGAAUAUUUGUGCAUGCAAAUAGCCAAAUGCACCAAGAUCGGGCAUGUAUAAUUUAUUGGACUGGAUCCAGAUGAAACAUGAGCACUGAUUUCCAUGGAUCUACUCUUAAGCAUGACUAAAUCUGGAUCCAAUCUAUUACUGUUGCUAUUCCUUCUUAAACAUGUUUCCAAUCACAUGGCACCGAAGGCAACAUACAAUCCCCUUCUUAAAAAAAUCCAACAGAUAAGCCAAUGUUUGUAUUUUACUCUCCACCCUGGAGACUAGAACUGCGUUCCCAUGGCAGUUUAUCCCUUUUCCCUGAUGUUUCCCUGACUGUAAAUUUCCACAUUAUGUUUGAGCUUUCACAUGACAUACUGUAAAAACAACUUCUGAAAAACUAAUUGAAUAUAGCUCAUGUUUAGUGCUCAUUGCGCUGCUAUUUGAUUCCAGAAAAAUAAUAAUCUAUGGAUGUAAGGUAAAGGACCCCUGACCAUUAGGUCCAGUCGUGACCGACUCUGGGGUUGCGCCGCUCAUCUCGCUUUAUUGGCCAAGGGAACCGGCAUACAGCUUCUAGGUCAUGUGCCCAGCAUGACUAAGCCACUUCUGGCGAACCAGAGCAGCGCACGGAAACGCCAUUUACCUUCCCGCCAGAGCGGUGCCUAUUUAUCUACUUGCACUUUGACGUGCUUUCGAACUGCUAGGUGGGCAGGAGCAGGGACCGAGCUACAGGAGCUCACCCCGUCGCGGGGAUUCAAACCACCAACCUUCUGAUCAGCAAGUCCUAGGCUCUGUGGUUUAACCCACAGCACCACCCUUUCCAAAUGCCCAGACCUUAAUUCUGCCUCAUCCCACCCAGGUGUUGAUAUUGGAAAAGUCACCCUGAUUUGACAGAUGUCAUAAGCUGAACCUUAACCCAGGAUUGACCCUGCCAAGCAAUCAGCCAGCAGAUGGGUUAGGUGAUUCAGGAUACACACCCAAUGCCUACGCCAAAGCCUACUGACAUCUGUAAUCAACCAAAUUGUGGGUUUGUUAAUCCCAAGAUGUUUGUCCUGUGUUUCUCACAUCUCUCAUGCUUGAGCCCCCACUGCUGGUGGGCUCACUGGGCCUGGGACUGCAAAUCACAACUGGGAAGGGGGGUAGUUCUAUGAAAGAGCACCAACCUUGCAUUCUGAGGCACCCAGGGUUUAUACCGCUGGCAUGCCCAGGUAGGCAUGGGAAAGGCUCUGUCUGAAGCCUUAAAUAAGAAUAAUAUAAUAAUAAUGUAUUAUUUAUACCCUGCCUAUCUGGCUGAGUUUCCCCAGUCACUCUGGGCGGCUCCCAAUCGAGUGUUAAAAACAAUACAGCAUUAAAUCUUAAAAACUUCCCUAAACAGGGCUGCCUUCAGAUGUCUUUGAAAAAUAGGAGAGCUGCUUAUUUCUUUGACAUCUGUUGGGAGGGUGUUCCACAGGGCGGGUGCCACUACUGAGAAGGCCCUCUGCCUGGUUCCCUGUAACCUCACUUCUCUCAGUGAGGGAAACACCAGAAGGCCCUCGGAGCUCGACCUCAGUAUCCGGGCUGAACAGUGGGGGUGGAGAUGCUCCUUCAGUGUAGACAAUGAAACUGUAGACAAUACAGAGCCAUAUGCACCAGUGGUUCUGCUCAGCCCAAGGCAGCUUCCUAUGUUGCAUUCUUACAGAGAGGCAAGGUGACCAAAAAAGAAGCUUUACUUCGUACCCUCCCAACAUUUCUCCAAUGAAAAUAGGAAUGUCCUAUUCAAUAAUAACAAUAAUUUUAUUUAUACCCCACCCAUUUGACUGAAUUGCCCCAGCCACUCUGAGUAGCUUCCAACAUAUGUAAAAACAUAAGAAAACAUUAAGCAUUUUAAAACUUCCCUGUACAGGGCUGCCUUCAGAUGUCUUCUAAGGGUUGUGUAGUUACUUAUCUCUUUGGCUCGGGGGUCGCAUAACUCCAUACCUGCCAACAUUUCUUCAAUGAAAAUAGAGAUGUCCUGAGGAAAAGUUGGGCUUCCUGAGAUUAAAUCAAAAACUGGGAUGGCUUCUGUAAAUCUGGGAUUGUCCCUGGAAAAUGGCGACACUUGGAGGGUCUGUUGCUUGGGUAUGCACCAUCAAAACCCAUUUAGAGGGUUACGAUGGUUGAAGUGGAAGCCAACCACACAGUGUCUUUUUCUUAUUUCUUUUUAGUACUAGGCAGACUUAGCAGAUGAUAUUUUGAUUUAACUGUGGGUGUAAGAGAUUUUCCCCAGGCGCUCUCUCUCUCCCCCCCUAUAUAUAUAUAUGGUGGUUAUAGCUCCCCCCCUUUUUUGUUGGAAAACACGCUGCUUUGGGGAACAGGCAGGAAAGCUCUUAAAAUGCAUGAGGAUUAUUUCUAUGACACAUUCUAUACAAUAGACAGCCUCAAAAUAUGGUAAUGCUCCUAACUUCCAAUGUUUUUACAAAAGCCUCACUGUUGUCAAGCGGAAAAACGACAAUUUUUAAAAGAACAAGAAAGCGGAUUAUGUACAGACUGCCAGCAUUCAUCUGUGAUUUGUGUGAAGGAUUUAUAAUGGCAAUCCUCGGAUUGCUCGCUCUGGAGAAAUGAGGCUGCACAUGGGAUGGGGGGUUGAGGGCCGCCGUCUCACUAAUCUAAGUUACAACCAGAUUUUUAAAAAUGAAGAUGGCCUUUGUGUCUUGAUCAAUCCUGUGGAAUAGGAUAGUGCUUUUUUAAAAAGAGCAUUCAAGUUUUAGUUCUGGUGAGAGAACUGGACUAAAAUUAACAGGCAUCCAAAUGGAUAAUAGAAAUUAGUUUUCUUCUCUGGCUCUGCACUCUUUUAGUAAAAUGAUUAGGAAUGGCAGAGAACUUCAAUUCAGUUCACAUUUAAAGGCACAUCUAACCAAUCUGCACUUUCAGAAACAAUAUACAAAGGGGAACACAGCCAUCCUUCAAAAUCCACACUUCUCUGUCUCUUGCAAUGAAGUUAUCCAGCCAAGGAACAUGUACAAAAUGCAUCUACUAGGCUAAAGCGUGCAUAAAAAUGCAUAUAUUUGGAAAUUUGCCUUGUAAAAAUGUGUGUAUCAGGAAAAAUCCGCAGUAAAAUGUGGAUGAAUCUUGAUAGAGACUUUUUUUUUAAAAUGCAAACUGAUGUGGAAAUGUGGAGAACUGAAUUUAUGAUUUGAAAAAUGAGAUUCUUUGCAGUGUGGGGAUCUCAAGUGCUUUUUUUAGAUCUGACCUUGGUAGAUCUCUGGGCAUUCUCCAAGCUGUUGACAAAUAUCAUUAGGUCAACAGUUUGCUUUUGCUUACCUUUGCACUGCUAAAUAGGUCAGGGAUACUUGUGCAUUUGUUAAAUGUAUUGCUGUGGAGGUGAUGACUUGGCAGGGAGCAUCUCUGAUGAGGCAAUAUUGUUGUGCUCCUGAAAUAGUUUAAACGGCCAAUACUAGAAAACUAUAGACACAUCUAAGGUUGCAAUUAUAAGCAUACUGUACUUACCACUAAGCAAAUAACCCUCGAUGAAAUUGAUUCUCGAAAUGAUGUGUUCAGGACCAUGUGGUAAGAAAGCAAUAUUGCUUUAAUCAGUUAACAUUCACCUCCAGUAGACAUGCCUGUUCAGAUGUUGCCGUCCUUGAGAAUGUGACCACCAGAUGAAAUCCGGACAUGUACAAGAGGUUUGAACAGCGUAGUGAAAGUGGCAAAUUAGUCAUCCCUUGGAUAUUUUAUGAUUUUUCUGCAGCCUUUGACCUCUGCUUGAAUGAAAUAAUUUAAAUGGAAAUGGACCUCUUAGCACAAUAUAGCGGCCGGCUCUAAAUGAAAGGGAGAAGAAACCUUACAUUUUUGGUGUUUUCUUUAUCUUGCAGUGACAUUCGGGGAUUGAACAAAAAUGGCCAGUUCAACUAAUCCCUAAGGAAACCUUACGAAAAAGACAAUGUUGUGCAAGGCUGCAGAAAUAUUGGCUUGCAUCUAACCAAAGGCGCAUGAUAGUUGGCUUGUUUACUGAAAACUAACACAGGAUUGUUAACUUUAUUUUUGUAUCUGUGUCUUCAACAGUAUAUUUUUAAAAAAAUAUUAGCAGGGUAUAAUGUUUAUUUACCUGCUAAUUUUCCCAAUCAAGCAACUUUUAAAGGGAAAGGAGUGGAUUGAGCUCCAAUCCCACCCUCAUGUCAGCUGGCAAUCUGACCCCAACAGAAUAUUUAGGGUGGAAUUCAACAAAUGUACCCAUACAGAAUAUUUAGAGAGGAAUCGUUCCAUCAGCACAAGCAUUUUUGCUUGGCAGACAGAACAGAUGUUGUCCCCUCCAGUGCCCCCCAUUCUGGGGGUUCUCCUAUCCCAAACAGAUUUGGGAAGGGCACAGCGGGUGCAUGCAUGGGGGAAGAGGAGGGGUGAAAGCCCCACUACAUUAGUGGGGACUCAUUGCACUGGCUGCUGCUAUUGAAAUGAUUUAGCUACAUGUGACAAAGAGGCAAUAAGGUAUUGACUGACAAUUGCAAGGUUCCCACAUGAACAGCUGGAACAUCAGUAUGUGUGCAUGCAUGAAGGGGUUCUCUACAAGUACCAGUUAAGCCACGUAAGUUUGGGUGGGACUUGCCACUGUGAUGUGAUCUCUCAUGCCCAUAUAUGCACGUUCACUGAAUACAUUCUGAUUGAUUAGAGCUAACUCAUCAUCAGAGGAGUCCUAUGCAAAUUUAGACUGCUAUUCAAUGGAAUAGGGUUACAAAAGGCGCAAGGUCAUUUGAUCCCUGGAAAAUUGCACACUUUCAAAAUCCCUUGCAAAAUAGGAGCCCCCCCUGCCUUUGUCAGGAUCACGAAAGCCUAGAAUAUGGGAGGACACAUAGACCGCAGAGUUGUAAAACACCUCCUUUAGUGAACACUCACAUACAGGCUUGGGAUGAAGUUAUGUGCAAAUGUACACUUCCCCUACCAACUGCUUCUGAAGGCUCAUUUCACACAUAGAAAGCCAGGGCUCUGAAACAAUCCCCAGUUUACCUGCCAUGAAAAUUAAAACAGCUUUACAGUGAGCAGCAGCUAUUGAAUCUGUGCUGCAAGCAAAACACAGAAGGUCACAAUUCUGUUUUGCAGACAGUUCUAAAUUGGCAUUCAGGAGACCCGUCUUCCUCACAUCCACGGCGACAUUUAACCCUGUGCAAACAAGGUCUGGAGUCUGACUGAGAACUGCAUAGAAGGUGACAGAAAAACGUUUUGACCACAGCUACUGUCUCUCCCCGCCCCCACCCAAUAUAGAACUGAGUGAAAUAAUUCUCCUUUAGCUUUCAUUACAAAAUGUAUGUGUUUUGAAAAAGAUUGCAUUGCUAGUCCUGAGAAUUGAUGCCUAUACCUAUAUAUGUUCCUCUCAAGGGCUGCUUGCAAAUCAGUGAACUGCUGGAGGCAGCUUCUCAGGGGAAGGUACCUUCAGGCCUUAGAUUGACCUCGUCCAAUCAAUGUGCCAAUUGGAACUUCCAGACCCUCCAAGCUGUCCUGGUUUCUGAUUUGAUAACAGAAUGUCUCAGUUUUCCUUAGGAUGUCCCUAAUUUCAUCGGAGAAAUGUUGGAGGGCAUGGAGUUAUCCGACCCCCGAGCCAUCUGCAGGCAGCCCAGUAUAGAGAAGUUUUAAAAUGUUUAAUGUUUUAGUAUGUUUUUAUGUAUGUUCGAAGCUUCCCUGAGUGGCUGGGGCAACCCAGUCAGAUGGGUGGGUUAUAAAUAGUAAAAUGAUGUUGAUGAUGGAAUAGGACAUUCCUGUUUUCAUCAGAGAAAUGUUGAAGCGUAUGCUCUUCCUGAGCAGCGAGGAAUAUUAACUAUUUCCUAUUUCAGUUUAACCUUGCUUGAACAACAAGGUCAUCCUGAGCUCUGGUGUGUUGGCUAUUCCCUUGGAUAUUCUUCACUCAUACCUCCUCGUUUGUCCCUUGGUCCUGAAUACUGCCUUGGCCUGUGACUCUGUCAGCUCAGAAUGCUGACAGAAGAAGCAACUUGGCGGUCAUUGUUGCUUAUUGGGAAGAGGCAGCAGGGAGGCUGGCUCGUGCAAAUGUACUAACAGGACUGCUGGGUUGGCUUUGCCAGUGCGCUGGAUGCUUGGAGCAAAUCUGUAUAUGAAGAAAGGCACACAGUGCACCUUUCCUGGAAGUUUACAAUUUCAGAAUACAGUUUUGAAAUGGUGAGAUAAGUGACACACAUAGUUACAGGCUGCACACCAAACUAAAUCACCAUCGAUCUGUUACAAUAUUUGCUUGGUGGGAGAAAAAGCAUGGAAUCCUGAGAAUAGUUAGAUCUACCUGAUUUCCUAUUUGUCAGAAUGCAGCUUUCUGGAGCAAAAGUUUACUAACCCCCCCCCCCCCGCACUCCACCUUUCUUCUUAAAAUGUGCUUUACCUGAUCAGUUGACCUAUCUUGAAACUUUUUAAAAAAGAAUCUGGAUAACUUGAAAGUAAGUAGAAAGAGAGGUGUCAUGCUGAAUAUAACUUACAUUGAUCGCAUUGACCUUUAUUUGAGUUCUCUGCUCCAGCAAGGGGAAGCACUGUGAGAGUUUAACAAUACAACAAAACCAGCAGGUUGUGUUUUGUUUUUAAUUUUUUAAAUUUUUAUUUCAUAUAUAUGUGCCACUUUCCCAGCAACUAGGUUGAGCUCCAAGCAACGCAUCAAAAACUUAACAAGUAAUAGCAUUCAAUAUAUAACAGUAUCCACCGAUAGUGAUGUUCAUACAAGGAUGGAGUAGUAUCCCAACACCUUCCUCUUCCAUCAGCUUAGGUAAACACCAGCAUUACUUGCAUUUUGGCACUUACCCAGAAAAGACUGGGAAAAUCUUUUUAAUAUCUGAUACUAAUGGUUUGCUCGUGAUUUUAACCUUGAUCAAGGCUAUUAGCUCUGUUUCACUUGUAUUGCAUUUCCAUUGUUUGAAAUCUAUAUUUUAAAUGCUGUUUUAUACCACCUCAACAUCUGUAAUGGUUUCUAAGGGGUUGCUCGUGUGCCAGCAGGCAACUAUCUCCCUGGCUGGGUGCAAACACCUGGCUGCCAAAGUAAACUUUAUCUGUCCGGACCACCACUCACCUGUGGCUGACUCAAUCGCUGGCAGAAUCCGUGAGUGGGUGUUUCUUAAACUUCUUCCAGCAAAGAAGCUCUUUGACGCCUAGUCUCCGCCUACCCUCUCUGCGCGAAAGCCUUCUGCGCAAAGAGGGUGUGGGCAACGGAGGACCCCUACUCUCCCCGCUGGUCCCAGGCAAGGAGUCAUGGGACCGCCUUGCCACUUCCCCCACCUGCCCCCCUUCUCCACUGGUGCUACGCUGAUUCUCUUCCCCAGAAGAUGGGCUGCUUCUCCCGAUCCCUGGACGCUCUCUAGAAUCCCUCUGGCUUUUGCUGUCUCCCUCCGGCACUGAUGGCAGUUCCCUGACAACAUCCAAUGUGAAAGGCAGUACAGAAAUGUUUUAAUAAAUACAAAUAACUAAUAAAUAAAAUCCUAGGCUUUGUUACUGUUUUGCUCCCUGCUACCCCCACCCAAAAAUACAAAAAUACUGUAUCUGCUUAAAGAAGUAAAAGCUUUUGCAGAACAGAGUCCUGUUUCCCCCUUUGACCCUCUCUCUAGCUUGCUGCAUUUUACAGACUCCCACUUUUCCUCUCUAGCUCACAUCACAGCAAAACUCUAAAACUCAGCUUCAAAGGCUUUUGUCUUUCUAUCUAAUUCUGAGUUGAGGGAGGGGCUCCUCCCAUUUGCCCUCUGCCACAGAGCCACGCUCUUUGUGCCCCUAACAACCCAUCUUUAGUGGGUAAAGGGCAGCCUGGCUAUUUCAGCAAUUGAAUUCCUGGAUCCAGGAAUUAGAAGUGGGGAAGAGGUAAUAAUUCAGCCUAAGCCCUUCCCUGGGCAAUUUCCUGGACACAAGACCCCAGCCUGGUUUGUGUUUUAACAUGCUAAAUCCAGUGUCUGGCACCCAGGAAUUAGAAGGGAGGUCCAGGCACCCCCACAAACUCAUAGCAGUACAUUUUUGCUCUAAGCAUUUAAAUUAUGACAAAUAAAUAGACAGAAUCAAUUAUACUCACAGCUUCACCUUUUUUUGUCCGUCAAGAAAAAAAAGACUGCAAUAGAUCAAUGAUAAGUAAGUUUGGCAGCUGACAUUUAACUAAGCAGAUGGCUCAUCUGAUAAUUUGUUAGACCUUUUUUGACUUGGGCCUUCGUGUGAGACCUUGAGAGACCUCCACAGGCAAGGAUCAAUCCUUCUCAUAUAAUUACUGUUUCCCACUCCAAGUCCUUGGCAUGUUUAGAUUUAAAUGUAUUGUUAUAGUUGCAGACAUCCAAUUUAGGCUCACUGGCCUAAACUUGUAAAUAACAGGAGAGCCAUGUUAUACGUGGCAAUGUGAAGUAGUACAUGCAAAUGUAGCAUUUACAGUUUUCUCUUAAUGAUGCCAGUCUGUUGAUUGGAGCAGUUAAACUGAAGAUCAGUGGACAGGAGAACACUCAUCAGACUCCUGAAGGAAUGUCACAUAAGGCUUGUCCUUACAUUAUACUUAACACAGUUCACAAGCUGUCUCUACACAUGUACAAGUGUUUUUGUGAAAGAGUGGGCAAUUUUUGAUUUGUGCAGCUUAGCUACUGUGUACACAGGCUGUGCGUUCAUUGAACAUUACAUGUGAACAGCUGUACAAGGGUGUAUACAGGUACAGACUGUACAUUUGUUGAAUAUCUUGUAUGAACAUGCAUGUAGAAAAGGGCAAAGAUGUUUUCCCUGCUGACCCAGGGGCCACUUCUGGAUCUAAUCUAAGUUACAGGAAGGUAGAUUUCAGCUGAAUGUUAGGAACAACACGCUGGUGAGAGCAGUUCUACAAUUCAACCAGGUCCCAGAGGUUAGAGAUGGACCGAGGAGCCUAUUUCUUUGCAUAUGUUUAUUUAUAUGUCCUUUCCAUCAGUCUGUGUCAUGAACUGGCAGGAUGAUGUGGAGGAGGAAGAGGAUCCCUGGGACACACCGGGGCAAACUGGGGAUGGGGAAGGAAGUACUCACAGGGUGAUGGAGGAUAACAAGGGUAUGGGGGUCAAUGCACAGGAAACACAGCAGCAGGCCCCAUCACCAGAAGGGCCCCAGUCUCCACAAGCACAGUGGACUCUGAGGCAUAGGGUGUCGGAACUCCACUCGGCCAAGCCGAUAAGGCCUCAUCUUCCUCCGAGCCUUUGAAAUCGCCUCCGACGUGUUUAAUCACCUGAGCCUUUGAUAAGGCCUCAAGCACAUUCUACCCAGCAGGGUUCCCAGCACAGGGAAGAGACGAGAGGUUUGGCUACAUUGUAAAGAGUUUUAUUUCUAAACUACGCAGAACAGAAAAGACAUCCUUUCUCUAUGAAAGCUGAGAGCAACAGAAACAAAGGAACAAAGGAAACAGGAAACCACUAACGUCACAUCCCGUCUCCCUUCCCGUGAGACUUCCAAGAGUCUGGACUGUCUCUGGAAUGUAAACAGAGCCCUGUGACUCCCAGCAGCUGCACAGUGAGAAACAGAAACUAACAUAAGGAGCAGUGGGAGGGGUGCUCUAGGAGGCUGAGGCAGGCAAGGGCCCACAGCCCAGCUCCCUAGCUGGCCAGGUGGGACUCACUAGCUCUAGGAAGAGGUGUGUGAUUCCUCAGCUGGAGUAGGCUUGGGUAAGGGUCACCUGCCUCGCCAAGCCCAGAUGCUGCAGUCAGCAUACAGAGUACAAAAGGAAGCAGAGCUGGGGUGCUGUGUUUACUUAGUUGCCCAUGCUGAUGGACCUUGACCUGGAUGCUCCUGGACCUCUAUGGGACUGUGCUUUGGAUUUGUCUCUGCACUGUAUGCUGACUGCUGGACUUCAGACUUGGCUACUUGGAUUGGCCUUGUACUGCGUUUCCUGAUCUCCAGACUUUGGAUUUUGGACUUUGCUUAAAUGGAUUGACCCCUGGACUUUGAACUUUGGAUUUGGCAUAGCGUCUUGCUGCCAGGUAGGCCAGGGGUUUGGGACAAUCUUUCUUUUUAAAAAACUGCAUUGAAAUUAGUUUUAGUAUUACUUUUAAUGUAUUUCCCCUUUGGGGUAGAUUCAACUAAUUAGUUGCACUAUAUCACCUCUCCUUCCCCUGUGCCACCCCAAAAUUGGCUCUGGAGUGGGGGGUGGUAGGAGAACCCCCAGAACACCACACGGGGAGGAGAGGGGAGAAUGUUUCAUCAGCCAAACUGAAAUGCUUAUGUUGGUGGAACCUUCAUCUUUGAGCAGCAUUUAAUUCUUCCAUCUAUAUUCCACUGGAAGAGCAGGAGGCUCUUAGGGGCACGAAAGCUACCCAAGGCUGACUCAGCUCCUACUGGGUGUCUCCCCAUCCAUCUCGAACCUCUGUUAUCAUUAGACUCAUGUUUAUUGCUGUUGGGCAGCAUUAUAGGACAGAGGUAAUAAAUAAAUAUGGCUAUGAGUUAUAACUGCCAAGUCAGAAUGGAAUGAAAGCUCAUCCAAAUGAAAAAGGGAUCUGUAGUCAAAUAGCCCAAUGAUUUAUGGGCCACAGAACGGGCUUUAGUGUAUAUCAACAUUUGAUUCCCAAGGUUUAUUUUAGUCAAAUGCAGUUUGAUGUGACAGCUCUGAAAUGAAAAAGGUGUUCAGGCUGGCCAAUGGAUGAUAUAUAACAAGAAAACAUUAUGCACUUUCAGGGGGAUUUGUCAAAUAAAGCAUCUCAUGAAUAUAUUGCCUGUGUUCCCUUUUAAACUCUCUCAUUGUAGAGCAUUUAAAUAAGGGCAAGCCUUAAAGAGUUUGCACUUUUCUCGUGCUGACACCGCUGGGGAAGAAUCCUGUCCUGUUGAUGAAUUGCCAGCACAAUUCGGAACAAUGGGGGAAGAAUAAAACCAGGGGCCUUAGAAGUAUCUAACCUCCACUGAGCUAAGCGAUCAUAGAUUUUAGUGAUACAAAGACUACAAUAGGAGAAGAAAAAUCCCCUUCUCUUCUCUUAUGCUUUACAUUUCUAGCUCGGGAUCACACACAAAAAAGGAAGUGAGGGCGAAUCUGCCUGUGAUGGGAUGAUGAGCUGCUUGUNNNNNNNNNNNNNNNNNNNNNNNNNNNNNNNNNNNNNNNNNNNNNNNNNNNNNNNNNNNNNNNNNNNNNNNNNNNNNNNNNNNNNNNNNNNNNNNNNNNNUGUGUGAGCCCCUCAGACAUGGCUCCUCUAGUCACUAGCAGAUUCCGACAGUGGUUGCUUUCGGAAUCGCUUCCAACAUAAAAGCUCCUUAACGGAAACACGUCUUCUGGACUCUCUGCGUGUCAGUUUCCGGCGAGGAGUGGGUGUCCCUACAGGAGGUCCUGAAACCUCCCGACUGUUUUCGCUGGAAGUGUCUCUGAGCCAUCCCUCCAGCUCACUUUCCCUCAGCUCAGCUCCUCUCCCCCUACUGGUUCCCUCUUCAGCUGCUGAGUCUCUCCCAACCUGUGUGAGCCCUUUCACCUCCCUUCCUUCCGAUGGCAGUUCCCUGACAUCCACCUCCCCUCCAGGGCCCCCUUCACCCCCUCUCGCACCCUCCUCUACGGGCGGUGAGGAGGCAAAACCCCGGAUGAACUUCCUUCAUCUUCCGAUGUCUCGAACACUUCUCUCCACCUGUUGCGGUUCCUGGUCUCGAAGUACUCCUCCUCCUCAGAGUCCAUCUCCCCUUCCCCUUCCGAGUUCGGGAAGCCUUCCAACUCCUCCUCCUCAUCAGUGGUCCCAAAGUAUUCCCUCCGGAACCUCUCCACAGGCUGAGGUUUCCUUGGGAACCUUUGAUGGAACGUUUCUAUCAAUACCUCGUCAUUGAUAUCUUCGGCCAUUACCCAAGUGUUUUCUGACUCCGGUUCUCCUUCCCACGCUACCAAAUACUCCACCUGAUUCCCCUUCCACCUGGCGUCGAGGAUUUCUGCCACAUGGCUGCUGCAUUCUCUUUCUUCUAUGACCGGUCCCAGUGGCCAUCCCUUCUCGUCCCCCUUCGUACGGUGACAGUAACGACCUGUGAAAUACUGGGUGCAGUUUCAUGUGGUUGGGUAACCGGAGCCUGAAAGCCACUGGGUUGACCUGUUGAAUGACCUCAAAGGGACCCAACCUCCUGGGUCUUAAUUUCUUACAACCUCCUUUGAGCAGCAGCCCUUGGGUUGACAGCCACACCCUAUCUCCCACCCUUAUGGUUUCACCUUCCCUUCGGUUCUUGUCUGCUUGCCUCUUGUAUUCUUCCUUCGCCCUUUCUAAGUUGAGUUGGAGCUGACAAUGGAUUGCUUCCAUUUCUUCUACAAAAUGCUCGGCUGCCGGGACGCUCCAUCUCUCCCCAUCUCCGCCUGGGAAAGCCCUGGGAUGACACCCAUAAUUAGCCAAGAAGGGGCUCAUCCCUGUGGACACAUUCUCGGCAUUGUUGUAGGCAAAUUCCGCCAGCGCCAACUUUUCUACCCAGUCAUUCUCUCUGUCAUUGACAUAACACCUCAGGUAUUGCUGGAGGACACCGUUUGCUCUUUCCGCCUGCCCGUUGGUUUCAGGGUGCCGGGCAGUCGAAAAAUUGACCUCCACCUGCAGUAAGCUCAUGAGCUUCCUCCAGAACCUGGAAGUAAAUUGUUUUCCUCGGUCUGAGACCACCCUCAAUGGCACCCCGUGCAACCUAAAAAUGUGUUCUACAAAUAACUUCGCUGUCUCUUCUGCCGUGACUGCAUGCGAGCAAGCUACAAAGUGGCACAUCUUUGUUAGUAGGUCCACCACCACCAUGAUGGCUGUUUUCCCUUUGGACUUCGGCAGAUCAGUCAUAAAAUCUAUCGACACUGCCUCCCAAGGUCGUUCUGGGGUUGGUAAGGGUUCUAAUAGCCCCGCCGGCGCCCGCCUUUCCCCUUUGGCUCGCUGGCAUUGCUCGCACCCUCUUACAUACUCACGUACAUCUUCCCUCACCUUGGGCCACCAAAAUUCCCUGGUGACCAACCACAUGGUUUUGUGUUGUCCAAAAUGCCCCGCCGUAGGGCUGUCGUGCAACUGCUUGAGUACCCUCCCCUUAAGUCUCCUUCAGGGAUAUACAGUGCCCCUUUGUAAUACAAAGCUCCAUUUCUUUCCUCGAAACCCCCUGGUUCCUCUCCCUCACCCCUAAGACCUCUGAGCUUAUUCUGGGCGUAUUCAUCAUUCUCUGUUUCCUCUACCAGUUCUCUUUGUCCCACCAAUGCCGCCCCACACACCCAGCGGUCCUCUGGAAUGACAUGUCUCUCUUCGGGUGCUCCCUCCCCCUCCAAAUAUUCAGGUUUGCGUGAGAGAGCGUCCGCCCUAAUGUUCUCUGGGCCUGGCACGUAACAAAUCUCAAAGUUAAAUUUGGAGAACUCCUGGGCCCAUCUCACUUGCCGUUGGUUGAGCACUCGUGCCGUCCUCCAAUACUCUAGGUUCUUGUGGUCAGUGCACACUUGCACCUUAUGUUGUGCGCCAAUUAGCAGGUGCCUCCAUCUCCGGAACGCCUCAUGAAUGGCUAGUAGUUCUCGGUCAUACACCGUGUAGUUCCUCUCGGAUUUGUUCAGCUUUCGCGAAAAAAGGCACACGGUCUCCACUCUGACUCCUCCUUCCCUGGCUGCAGAAGCACCGCCCCAAUCGCUCUGUCUGAUGCGUCAGUUUCCACUCUCAUCGGUUUUUGUAAAUCCACAUGCAGGAGUUGUUGUUCCGAGGCGAAGGCCCUUUUUAGUUCCUCAAAUGCUCGCUCCGCCUCCUCAGUCCAAACGAACUUCUUCUUACUGCUGAGACAGUUCGUAAUGGGCGCCGUCAGGUGGGCAAAGUUUCGGAUGAACUUACGAUAGAAGUUCCCAAAUCCUAGGAACCUCUGAACAUCCUUCCUUGUUUUGGGUGUUUUCCAUUCCAGCACCGCCUGGACCUUGCCGGGAUCCAUGGCCAAUCCCUUGUCUGACAGGCGAUACCCCAGGAAUUCCACCUCCUUGGUAUGAAACUGACACUUCUCCAGUUUCACCCACAGCUGGUUGGCUUGCAGCCUGCUCAACACUUCUCUGACGUCUCUCACAUGCUGCUCCUCAUUCUCAGAAUACACCAACACGUCGUCUAAGAAGGCCACACAAUUCUUGUAAAGCAAAGGCCCCAGGACGUGGUUCAUAAACGAUUGAAAGCAUGCAGAGCCUGCUUGGAGGCCGAAGGGCAUAACCAAAUAUUCAAAUGCCCCUAAAGGGGUGAACAUGGUGGUUUUCCAUUCAUCACCCUUCCUUAUUCGUAUCAGGUUGUACGCCCCCCUUAGGUCCAGCUUUGUGAAAAUCUUUCCCUUCCGCACCCUUGUCAAAAUGUCGUCAAUCCUGGGCAUAGGGAAGGCCACUGGUUCUGACACUGCAUUUAAGGCCCUGAAGUCACACACCAGCCUCGGCUUGUUCGUGUGUUUUUUCCCCACAAAAAACACUGGGCUGCCCCCCACUGCCCUGGACUCUCUGAUGAACCCUCUCUUCAGGUUCUUGUCAAUGAACUCUCUUAGCUCCUGCAUCUCUCUGUCUGACAUGGCGUACAGCUUGCCUACAGGGAGCUGUGCCCCAGGGAGUAAAUUGAUUUGACAGUCAAAGGGUCUAUGCGGGGGUAGUUGGUCAGCUUCCCUUUCGCUGAAGACGUCACGGAGAUCUGCAUAUUGUCGUGGUACCUUCACGUUCUCCGUUACUUCAGUCCCUGCUAGGGUGGCUUGGGCCCCUGCCAAACCCUUUCCCUCUUUGCAGUGUUCUAAGCAAUGUGCUGAACCAAAAGAAACCACUCUCUGAUGCCAGCCCACCAGCGGAUCAUGUAACGCUAGCCAGCUCAUCCCCAAUAUAAUGGGAGCUCCUCCCAAGGUGGCCACAUUAAACGCUAUCAGUUCGGUGUGCCUGGCUACCUUCAUUAUCAUUGGGACGGUCUGCAAGCUGACUUCUCCUCCCAACAGCUCCCUGCCAUCGAUCGUGGUCACCUGCAGGGGGUUGCUUAAGGGAUCGUCUGUAUCUGGUGUUCAGCUGCAAACUCUUUGCUCAUGAAAUUGCAGGAGCUGCCUGAGUCCAACAGCGCCUUUAUCUUUAGAGGGUGUCCGUUUGGCAGCUCUAGCGUCACUUCUAUCACUAGGGCGGGUUUAGGAGGUUCUGGCGUGGGCACUCUCACUGCUCUUUGGCCUGGCUGCUGUGCCCCGACAGUGGCAGCCAGGCGUUGGCUUUUACUUGCUCCGGUAUUUCUUCCUCUCUUCCCUCCACAGCUCCUACCAUCCCUUGCCAUUCCUUCCUCUGGGGGCAGACUCUGGCAAAGUGACCUGGCUGUUGGCAGAGAUAGCAUUUCCGGGCGCCUUUUCCCUCCUUCUUUCCCCCUCACUGGGCUUUGAAACUGCGCGCGCGCGCGCUGUUCCGAUUUCCAUCGGCUCUGCCGGCGGGAAAGUUGGCUCUGGAAUGUCUGGAAUGCGGAACUCCUUCCAACGUUCCCCUUUCCCUUCCCGCCUCUCCAAUGCUCUCGCCUCCUGGCGCGCUCCUAUGGUCAGCGCUGAUUUGGUCAGCUGGUCCAUAGACUCCGCCCUGGGCGCCCGGGAAAGUUCGUCUUUCACAGCCGAAGAAAGCCCUUCUUCAAAGAGCAUUUGAAUGGGUUCCGCCGAUAAGUCCCACCCCAAUCUGUGAACCAGCAUGGUGAACUCAGUCCAAUACUCACGGACAGAUCGGCUCCCCUGUUUGCAAGCCAUUAACUGUCUGCGCACCACUCCCUGUUCAAUAUCGCUGGAAAACAUCAGAUCCAUGGCGCGAAAGAACUUCAUCGUGUCCUUUAGGACGUCACUAUUCGCUGCCAUCAGGGGUCUAACCCAGUCUCUCGCCCCUUUUUCAAGAUGCUCAAUCACGAAAGCCACUCGUGAUUCCUCGUCAGGGAAUUCAUCAAACUGCAGAUUGAGGGCAUAUUGCAUCUCUGUCCGAAAGCCAUGAUAGUCUUUGGGCUCCCCCCCAAACUUCUGCACCAAUCCUGGUACCUUUCUGGCGAGCUGGGUGGCUUUCCCCUUUGUCUGCAUCCUGAGCCCUCCUCUCCUCAAGCCUCGCCGUCUGCAUCGCUAGCUGGACCUCCAACACCCGGUACCUUUCUUCCAGGCUUGGACCCGCUCCAGCUCCUGCUUCUCCGGUUCCGGCUGGGUUGCUCAUGAUGCCUUCUCCUGCACAAGCUGCUUUCAAAGACUGUCGGAAUGCUGUGAUGGGAUGAUGAGCUGCUUGUGCGUAAAAUCGUAUCCCCUCAGAGUUUGUUCAAGUCCACAAACCUCUGUCUGUGACGGAGCCCCUCAGACAUGGCUCCUCUAGUCACUAGCAGAUUCCGACAGUGGUUGCUUUCGGAAUCGCUUCCAACAUAAAAGCUCCUUAACGGAAACACGUCUUCUGGACUCUCUGCGUGUCAGUUUCCGGCGAGGAGUGGGUGUCCCUACAGGAGGUCCUGAAACCUCCCCACUGUUUUCGCUGGAAGUGUCUCUGAGCCAUCCCUCCAGCUCACUUUCCCUCAGCUCAGCUCCUCUCCCCCUACUGGUUCCCUCUUCAGCUGCUGAGUCUCUCCCAACCUGUGUGAGCCCUUUCACCUCCCUUCCUUCCGAUGGCAGUUCCCUGACACUGCCUAUAGGAAAAACAAGUUUCAGUUUCUUCUCUUCCAUCCUGAAUUCUCGUCCUAUAUAGUUUCAGUGCCCAUGGCAUUGUUUUAGGGGGUAGCCCGAGUCUUUUCUACUGUACCAAAACCCAAUAAGUAAAAUGUCUCUUGGAAAUUUGAGUGGGACAGAAAUAUAAAAUCAUUUGUUUGCCUCCACAAUCUGGAAUUGAGAAAUACAAUCUUUCAGGUUUUUUUUGGUGUUUAUUUUUUAACCAAGCAACGAAAUUUUUGUGCAUCUCACAAGCUUCUGAUCCCUAAAAUGGACAUGUUUGCUGACAAUUCUACAUGCUUAUUUUCUUGAUAAUGCAUAUCAUGUGUGUCUUGACUAACUUGCUUGAGUUUUCUGUUUUGCACACAGGAGAGUUUCUUCUUUUCUAAUUGUUGUACAGAUUGUGUUCUUUGGUUGCUGGGUAUAAUGUGUGGAUGGUAUUGACUGGUGACAAAGGGCUUGUAAGUAUAUGCAAUAGCUUAGGGUGGCCAUAUUUCAAGAAGUAAGUGUUAUGUACUGAAGUUCUCACCCUGGGCCAGCAGGGGGAUACUGUAGAUAGUUAUGCAAAUGAAGGAUCGAAAGUGACGUUCAGUGAUUGGAUAGUUUGUAUGCAAAUGAAGGAUCGAAAGUGACGUUCAGUGAUUGGCUAGUUACAGAAAAUGGUUACUGUUGCAUUCUAGUGGAGCUCUAUAUAAGCAGGCUGACUGAGCUCCUCAGUUCAGUUCUGUCCCAGCUUACAAAUAAAGAGCUGCUUUGGAAGAAUCGCUGUGUCGUCUGAUAUGUUCGCCCACAACUUAACAGUAAGAAUCCAGACACAAAUAGUUGUUGAGCUUUUUUGAAAAAUCACCCUAAGACAUUCUGGACCCAGGAAAUUCUAUUUCCAUACCACAGUUCAUAGUAAACCCCCAACAACAAACACCAAGUUUGUAUUUGUCCUUUUUGAAAGUCAUCCUAAAGUUGUAUCUACACAUACAAAUUAGCAUAUGCCUGUUUUGUGCAAAUUUAUGUCACUCAUGGGUCUGUGCCCAAAUUCUUUUAAGCAUCUAGAAACACCCCUGCUUAGUGCAAUACCUCAUCUAUAGUUAAAAUAUCUUAUUUUGCUCAGCUUGAACUCUCUUGUGGAUUUACAUUAUGUAAUUGUACAUUUUUCUCUGCAUUGUGUGGAAGGGGGCAUCAUUUGUGGGACCAAAAAAUGAAGCUUUCUUUUUCAUAAACCGCCAAGAUGUUGGUUAACAGUGGAGAAACAAGAUGGAUCCCUCCCCAAACUUACUUGCCCUCACUUAACUUUCCUUCUCCUCCAUGGGCUGGAAAUGUAAAGGAUUACUGCAGAGGCUCCUACUGCGUUGAAGGAUGGGUAAACUCUAUAUAGGGAGCUGUGCUGACAAGAUAAGCAAAACUGACUCCUAUGACCGCCUUGACUCAGCAGCACCCCAAACACGAUUGUCAUGGUGAGUCAUUUACAAGCCAAGGACAGUCAGCUGAAUUCCAAAUGAAAUAUAACUUAAAACUACAUGCCUUUCCAACACCUGGACAUUUAACACGGUUUUAAAGUUUUGUCUAUUAGUGUACAGUAUAUCUUUGCAAACUUUGAACUGCAUAGCGAUAAAUUAGAAGGAAUAUUGACAACCACCUUUUGAUUAUUAUUUUUUCUAAAGGUGAGUUAGGGUGGAACUAAACAUGUUCUCAUUUCCAUUUCUGUUGAAAUUCUCUGACAUUAUUACACAGGAGAGCUGAUAUAUAUGGGAACUCCUCAAAAGUUGUGCAUGUCAAGUUCACAGACCCAAGGUAAACUUAGGAUUGGAAGUAAAUUCUUUCUCCUUGCUAUCAGGAAGAAUCUUUGGGCAACAGAAGCUGUGGAAUCUUUCUUGCUGACUUUUCAAAGCAGGGAGAGCAUGUUCUGGAGAUGGUCUAUAUCAGGGACCAUGGACCAAAUGUGCCCCCCCCAAGCUCUUUACAGGCCCUGCAUUCUCCUCAGGCCAUACACCACAAAGGACCUACUCCUUGACUUCUUGCAUGACUUGAAUGUAGUGACAUCUGUUCCCACCCACUUGCCCCUCAUCCCACCCACCACCACCAUGUGGCCACCAUGUGACCCUUGAACUAAAAAAACCUUGCUCCCCUCCUAGUGUGAAGGGGAUAAUACUAAGUAACUCUCACUCUGCCUCAGUCGCUAACAUUUUAUGAUUUUUCUCUUUAAUCCUUUUAACUAUGGGGUUUAACAAGUAAUCAAGUGUAUUCCCAGUGGAACAGAAACUGUGUGGGCUACUUCUCAGUUCCUUGCUAUCUCCAAAGUGCUGUUGCGAUUUUGCUGAUAUAUUUUGAAAGCCAUAAUAAAUAUGCAUCAUAGUGACUGACAGUCAACAUACUAGUCUCUCAUGUAUGAUUGCCUUUUAAAAAGACUGUCAGCUCUAUCGAGUCUGUGUUACAACCAGGCCUACGAACAGUGACUUGAUUGGGAGAGGGGCUAACUAAGUCACUAGUGCCAGCAGAACCUGGACCAGGAAUCUGAGACUUCUAACUUAAGUCUGGAAGUCAAGGCCCCCAGAGACUUCAGCAUCUGAGCCUUCAGAUCACCCUUCCCCCAAAAGGUCACAUGUGCAAAGUCUUUCCACUGCAGGCAGGGGGCAACAGAGAAACAACAUGGUGCCAGGCUUCAUUUCAGAAGCCCAUCUCUUUAAUGAUCUCCAUUCUCCAGUAAGAGGGCAGAACCUGGGCGGGCAGUCAGGCUGAGGGACUAUAUUAGAUCUCAGCCAGCAACCAUCAAUUGUUGGAAGAAGUUGUCUCUACCCUUGAAUCUGUCAAUGAUUCUGAUCUACCAGUCUCUGACUACUAUUGUUUUUCGAUCUGUGACUCACAAGCAGAUAUAUCCUCAUUCCCUGUCAGUUCCCCACUCCUGCUAUUUGGAGCCUCCAGGCUCCAUUGCAUCCUCAUCAUGCCGCCUGGCAGAGCUUUUUUGGGUAGUAUGGGGCCUUUUACAGUCUGGCCCAAGGUAGGUGGUAAAAUCAACGGUGGCUCGCUGUGACUUGUUUGCAAAAUAUCUGGGGGAUAAAAUUGCUUGCAUCCACUGGGACCUUGACUCUACAGUGGUACCUCUAGUUGCGGACUUAAUCUGUUUUGUGGUACCGUUUGCAGCAGGAGUGCCUCUUCUGAGCUUCUGCACGUGCGUGAAAUGCGCAGAUCACUUCUGCGCAUGCACGGGCGGUGAACUGGGAAGUAAACACUUCUGGGGUUGCCGCGUUCAUAAGCUGAAAGUCCGUAACAAGAGCGGAACGCAACACGAGGUAUGACUGUACAGUGGUACCUCAGGUUAUGAACGCUUCAACUUGCUUUUUUUGGGUUACGAACGAUUGUAACCCGGAAGUAAGUUGUCCAAGCUCUUGGAGGCCUCGCCGCUGCUUGGAGGCAAACCCGGACAUCGGCGGGGCCUAUGGAGCUCUCUGAGGCCUCCGCGAAUGCCAGGAACCAAGCCCCAACAUCUGCAGUGCCUAGAGCGGCUCCGCGAAUGCUGGGAGCCAAGCCCUGAUAUCCAUGGUGCCUAGAGCGGCUCCGCGAAUGCCGGGAACCAAGCCCCAACAUCUGCAGUGCCUAGAGCAGCUCCGCGAAUGCUGGGAGCCAAGCCCCGAUAUCCAUGGUGCCUAGAGCGGCUCCGCGAAUGCUGGGAACCAAGCCCUGACAUCCGUGGUGCCUGCAGGGCUCCAUGAAUGCCGGGAGCCAAGCCCCGACAUUCACGGUGCCUAGAGCGGCUCCGCGAAUGCUGGGAGUCUAGCCCUGGCAUCUGCGGUGCCUGCAGGGUUCCGUGGAUGUCGGGAGCCAAGCCCCGGCAUCCAUGGUGCCUGCAGAGGCUCUGCGACUAGGCUCCAGCUGCAGGAGCUCUCUGAGGCCUCCACGAAUACAGGGAACCAAGCCGAUUGUGAUUGUGGAAGAGGACCCUGAGCCCCCUCCAAACAGUGAGUUUGGAAAUAAAUAUUUUUUUUCAUCUAAAAUACUGUCUUAUUUAUUUUAUAGUACAGUACAUUGAUUAUUGCCUUCAUUUUAUGGACCAAUGGUCUCGUGAAACAGUACGAUUCGUGUUAAAUUGCUGUUUUAGGGGGUGUUUUUUCAACGUCUGGAACGGAUCAAUCCACUUUCCAUUACUUUCAAUGGGAAAGUCCGCUUCAGGUUAAGAACGCUUCAGGUUAAGUACAGACUUCCGGAACCAAUUAAGUACUUAACCUGAGGUACCACUGUACUGUUAGAGCAGAUGAAUCUUGGGAGGUGUCCAGAGCACUGUGUAGUCCUGUUAUGUUGGAUGGGUUUCAGUUAGUAAGGCUUGAGGAUGUGGACAAAGUGCUUGGAUUGGUUAGGGCAAUCACUUGCGCUCUGGACCCUUGCCCCCUUGGCUGAUAAAAACUAGCAGGUAGGGGAUGGCUGGCGGGCCAGGGAGGUGAUUAAUGCCUCCUUGCAGGAGGGGGGUGGUCCCUGCCUGAUUGAAGGAGGCAGUGGUAAGACCACUCCUCAAGAAAUCUUCCUUGGACUCAGAAAAUCUAAAUAACUACCAACCAGUUGUCAAUCAUGUGAAGGGAAUGAGCCUACAAUGGAGUCUGCAUGAAGCAGAUUCAUAGGAUUGUCACUCGUGCGAGUGGGAACUCUGAAACAGAGCUUUGAUGAGAGCUGCUUCUGUUCCCAGGAAAUACUGAAACACCUACACUUUUGCUUGACCCGAAUUUUUUAUUAUAUUGUAUACAGAUUAAGCCACCCAGGUCCAAGUUCUUUCUUCAUUGUUCUGUGGCUGUGCCUUGUGAAAAUCCAGUCUUAACCUGCUGAAGCAAAGCUCAGUUAAGCAAAAUAUUUAUUUGGAUUUCCUGCGCAUCUUACAAGAUCCAAUUCAGUGGCUAAGAUUGGAGUUUCACUAGCCACAGCUGCAGAACAACAAGAGAUGCUCUCAGACCUGGGGGAAUUAAUCGGUACACAAAAUACGGGUCAAGCGAACUUGUGGAUGAGCUCUUACACAGUUCUUCACGAGGUCUUAAGUCUGACUAUAUUCCACCUCAAUGUUUUUGUUGGUUUAAAAGUUUUGUUAUGGGAUAGUUAUGGGUUGCUUUCCCAGUAGGCAUUUAGUAUGGAGUUGCAAUGCUUUGUUCAUUUACUAUUUCAAUGACAUCAUCCUCAAAUUCUCCUGUGUUACCCUCCAUCCUUCUGUUUGUUUCAGAUUAACUUGUGCUUGGGAUGGUAAAGCUGUUCAGAAGGACAGGUAAAUUUGACUGCAUGCAGAUAAGUGGGGUAGCUAUUAUUAUAGAAUAUGCUUCUGCUUGGGGUGGAUUUUGCUACCCAGUUGAGCUUUUAAAUGGCUGUGAGAUUUGAGCAUGUGUUUUUAUUUUAUCUAAUUUUAACUACUCAGUUCAGUGUGAUUCUGAAUGAUAUGUAUUUGAGUCCCAUGCAAAGGGAAGGGAGUAGUGGGGCUAUAAAAAUUGAAGGGGGUGAUCAGAACACAUGAGGCAUUUUCAUAUUAGCUUUCAGAGUUAAGUAAAUGGUGCGCUGAUUAAGAAACAGCUAAGUACUGUUAUGCAGUUGUCAGCCGAGACAAUAUAAGCUGUUUGAAAGGUCAGGAGGGUGAAUUAAUGUAAUUUAAGUAAAUAAAUUGGAUGAACUUUAGUGUCAGAAAAUUAGUCUUUGUACAAAUUAAUUUGCAUGCUAGGUUGAAAGGUUCUGAGCAGUCUGCAUUCUUUGUGGUAAAUCUCCUCCCUGUACAGAGAUUGACAGUGAGUGUAUGAAAGCAAAGGGACGAAAAUUCUCCCUUCUGUAUCGUUACUACAAUAUUCCCCCUGUAAACUUCAUGUUCUAUCAAAUCUCAACAUGUGCUGAUUCUGUUUUUUGGUAGAAUACAAAAAUUUUCAGAAGACUUUCCAAGUUGGUACAUAAGGGAGGGCAGGGGUUCCAACUUGAAUAAAAUAUUUGGAAGGGGCCAAGUAAACCCUGCCCCACAUAAUCAAUCUCAUGACACGGGACACACAUACCAUUUGAUUGGCAGUGCCCACCAACUUUGUAGGGGUGGGGGUCCCCACAAAUAUUUUAUUGGGGGGAGUGUGAAAUAUUUUAUUGGGGGGAGUCACCCUAGGAGGUGACUCCUAUGAGGGAGGAUAUGGAAGUAUUGUUGCAUAGGAAGGACUAUAGCUGCAGUCUAUAUACACACUCAAGAGUCUUCCACAAGUAGGGAAUGUUCAGGUGGCUUUCUUACUGAUCUGAGAAAUGUAGUGUUCGGAUUUAAGCCUCCUAACAAUACAGCCAGACAAAGAAUAUCAUGGGACAAGUUGAUGAAGUCUCCGUGGGUGGAUCCACACAAAGGAAAAAACCAACAACACUAUAAAUAAGACAGAAAUUAAACCGUUAUAACAAAAGGGGGGGGGGACACUAUGGGAAAUCGCAUAGAAUUUUUUCGCUCUCCAGCGCCAUCUGGUGUUGCAUGUUUAUAACUCAUUCAAAAUGCUGGUUUUUGACUAAUGUAGCUAAGUCCCAUAUGUCCCUGAGGGAUUAAGUUAUAAUUUGAGAAAACAAGAGACUUGUGUAGUGUCUGUGUAGAGUUUCAUAUUCACACAGAACUGUACAAAUAUAAUUCCUCAUGGCAACCCUCAGUGAUAGUAAAUAUAAUUAUGAGUUUUCAAGUGUGUGGGUGUGUGUUAGGCUGAACGCUUGGCCCCCGUUCUAAUUCUUGGAAUAGCCAGGCUAGCUUCCUGGUGAGGUGAUAGUCUACGUAAUGAGCCAUUACUGGAACAAAUGAAGCGGCUCAGCAUCAGAGGCAAAAUGGGUGGACCCCCUCCAUCAACUGGCUGAUAGAAAGACAAAGAGGGGGGGGGCUGGAAAGCCAUAGCGACAGAGCCAUAUCUGAUUUCUGUUUGAAUUCAAGGCUAUGGGAGAAACAAUACCCCUUUGGGUUGUUGAUUCUGUGAACCCCUCUGUCAUAGGCUCAGGUUGCAUAUAAAUAAACCAUGUGUCAUAAAGACACCGCAGUUUCUGCUGUGCCUCAUUCCAAAUGGAAAUGCGAACCCCUGGAAUCUUGCACCGCUCGGAGAUUGGGGUGGCAUGCAGCAAUAUAAUCCAUUUAAUGUAUGGUGAAAUUCUGAGCAGAGAGGGCUUGUUCUUCCCAUCUUUGUGCUUCUUCAAAAUGGGAGCUUCCCACGGGGGCCAUGUGUGAGCCUCCAUUUCAGACAUGUCAAAGUAGCAUGAAAACAGGGAGCAUGAUUCAGUUUUACUUUCUGCCCAGGCAGUGGCGUAGCGUGGGUUGUCAGCACCCAGGGCAAGGCAAGUAAUUUGCGCCCCCUAACCCAUGGAUUUGCGCCCCCUAACCCCCAGAUGUUGCGCCCGGUGCGGCCGGCCCCCCCUGCACCCCCACACUACGCCACUGUGCCCAGGUGUCUAAUUACUCUUUUUAUAAGCAGUUCAAUAAUAAGAUCUUCUAAAAUGACAAAAUUGCUUAUCUUAAAAUGCCUCAAAAUACCAUCUGGUGAGUGACUGUUUUAAUUAUUUUUACAGGAAAGUAGUUACAAGGGAUAGCUCAAUCUGCUAGAGUGUGGUGCUGAUAAUGCCACGGUUGCAGGUUCGAUCCCCGUAAGGGAUAGCUGCAUAUUCCUGCAUUGCAGAGGGUUGGGCUAGAUGAUCCUCACGAUUCCUUCCGGUUCUAUGAUCUAUGAAUAUUUGGAUCCCUCCUAUUGUUGUGGACUACAUUUCCCAUCACCCUGGGCUACUGGCUAACUUCACUGGGGCUGAUGGGAGUUGUAGUCCACAACCUUCCUCUUUCAAUGUGCCCUUUAUGUAGAAAUCUUUCCCAGUCUGUUUUUGUGUUAGAGCUGUUGCAUGCCCAGCUGCAGAGUGAGUAGGAAAGGACCAGAUACUUCGCAUUCACUGGGCAGGAUCCAGAGAGCCUUUUAUACGUAUGAAAGCCACUCCAGCUCACACUUGGAGUCUCCUGCUACUGCUGCUGCUUCUCACAGAGAAGGUGGUGGAGCAUGUGACUUGUAUGCAGUGCUUUUUUCAAGAAAAAUAGGUGCCAGAAGUCACCACAAAGCUCUUACAGUAAGUCACCAGGAGACUCGGGGCAGCCCUGAGCAGAUGCUGGUUUGACGAUGGCUGCGUUCCCCACUCAUGGAGGUGCUAAAAAUCACAGCAAGCUGGUUUUGGGGGUCGCCCUCUGGUUCUGGUGCAGGUCAAAUAAAUGCGUCCCCCGCCUCCCUCUUUUUUAGAUUCAGGUGGACGGCAAGGGCAGCUCGGAAGGGUCCUUACACAAAACUGUGUGUGAGAAAAGGAUGGAAGAAAAGGAAAUACAAGUUGGCCUCGCUCCAUAGCUUGGCCAAUCAUGGCUAGGAGCGGGCUGGAGUCAUAGAUCUUUUAAAAAAGUGUAGGACUCACGCCGCUGGCCAGCUACUGCUCUGACUUGAAAUGUUCAUUUGGGGCGUCUCAGAAGUAUGUAAAGGCAAGAAGCGGGCAGGGGAGCCCCGGCCCAUGAUGGCACUCACCUGAGAGGUGCUGGAACUGUGUUCUGGCACACUCUGGCUGGAAGAAAAAGCACUGCUUGCAUGCGGAAGGUUGGGCUGGGAGAGGCCCUUCUCUCAGACCUUGCAGAGCUGCUGCCAGUCUUGAUGGAGACAAUAUCUGACUAAGGCAAUUUCUGAUGCAUCUCCAUAUGCCACCCUCCAAACCACAUCCUGUGUCAUUGUGCAUGUGUGUUUGUGUGUCCUAACCCUCAGGAGCAGCUGCUUUGGGUGAUCACAAUGGGCUGCAGGGUGGAAGGAGGAGGUAGGGAAUCCCCAUCGCAAAAGCAUAGCUUGGCUCUUAAUUCUUUUUUGUCCUUUUAUUGAAGAAAAUGAACUUGGAAGUGUGACAGUUGUGAGGUUAUUUUCCCCUGUUACAGAUCCUAUUUCCACGCUUCUGCGUCUCAGGCACAGCAACAUUUUUUUCCCUUUGCACUUAAAUCUUCAUGAAAAUAAUUGCAUGUAAAUGGAUGUUCUAAUAAUAUGUUGAUUAAAAAUGCAUUAAUUUUACAUCACCAAAUCAUCAUCAUUAGUUGAAGCCCAAUACACUACAAAAUGCCUAAUUUUUCUUCAGCCGUUUUGCAUUUGUUGGUAACUGAGAUUAACACGGCACUGAAAAAGCUCAUUACGCAUUCCUAGAGAUUUUCUUUUGUUAAUUUGUCCAAAAAAAGACCAUACAUUUAAUCAAUUUUCCACAAAAAAAGCUAUGCUAAAGUGCUGCUAAACUAUCACUAAUUAAACCAGCUGUAUCGAAAAAGGGAAGGGUUUGUUUCUGUAACAGAUAUAGUGCUCAUUUCAUGAGCACAGCGUUUCAUUUCUGCUUUGGGAUUCCUCUUGCAGCUGGAGAGAACAGAAGUACAACAUGGGAAGUGCUGAUGGCAAUUGGGAAUGCUGCUCCAUUUAUUGAAAUCUCACCAUUUGAGCGGUCACUUUCUUUAGAGCUUCAAAUUGCAUAAGAACAGCAGGCGAGCCUGCUGAAUUGAACCAAUGGCCCAACUAGUUCAGCAUCUGAGUCUCACAGCGACCAAUCAGUUCCCUCUGGGAAACCUGUAAGCUGGACCUGAACACAAGAGCACUCUCUCUUCCUUUGUCAAGGGGAUGAAGCUACUUUUUCACAGAGAAGUUGCUUCUUCCCUUUAUAAUUUUGGUUGCCCUUUUAUUGUCACUCUGCAAUUUUGUUUUUAAGGGAAGGCGACCAGAACUGUACACAGUAUUCCAAAUGUGGUUGUACCAUAGGUUUAACAGCAUUAUGAUAUUAGCUUAAUUUUCCAUUCCUUUCCUAAUGAUCCCUAGUGUGGAAUUCAUCUUUUUCACAGUUGUCAUACACCGAGUUGACACCUUCAGUGAGCUAACUACCAGAACCCCAAUAUCUCAUUGCUAGUCAGUCAUAUAUAUAUAUAUAUAUUUGCCUUGACAUGCAACAUUGAAUUGCUUCUGUCAUUUUACUACCCUUUCCUCAGUUUGGUUAGGUUCUUUUGGAGCUCUUUGCCAUCUCUUUUUGUUUUAAACAUCAAUAACUAUUAAGUUUCAAAAACCUGGACCACCUCACUGCUCACCCCUAACUCUAGUUAAUUUAGUAACCAGUUAAAAAGCACAGGUCCCCAUAUUCAUCCUUGUGGGUCUACUUUCUACAUGCCUCCAUUUGAAGAACAGUCCAUUUAUUCCUGCUGUUUCCUGCUACUUAACUAAUAUUCCACAUGCCUCUGCUUACUGUGUUUGUAAGUCACUUUGUCAUUUUACUCAAAGUGACUCAAAAAUGACUCAAAUAAAUAAGUUACUACUGGAAAUAUGAGAAGAAGCAUAACCCACACUUCUCUCACGGCUUCCCAUGAACACCUGAAACCAUUUAUAGAUUAGAGUCUUAUCAUCAUGAUUACUGCACCCAUUGGUGGAGAGACAAGCUGUACAUUGAUAAGCUUAUCUUAUCGCAUGUAGCAACAAUUUCUUUCCACUUUCCUAAAAUAACUGUACAUACUUUCCCUCCCAGUCCUAUUGUGUCUGCUUCUACAUCAUGAAUGACCACUUUAAUGUAACAUCUUUCCUCUUUAAAGAAAAAUGGGCAUCUCAUUCAAAGUGACUUUGCUGAAGUGUCCUCCUAUUGUGUCUCUUUUUUUGUUAUUAUUGUACGGCAGACAAUUGUUGAAAUUUGUAUUCAAACAUGUACCCAUUGUGCACUCCUGUAGAUAGUUGAGAGUGGUUUUGCAUCUAUUCAGAGUAUACCAUCUGAACACUGAGAGAUUUCAGUUUGCUUUAAUAUAUAUUGGGUGUCAUUUGAUAGGUCAGACCGUAGAUGCCAUACAAAAUACAGUGCCUUGGAAGAUUUUCUAAAUGACUUGGGGAGGAUCUGCUUUCAAAAUGGCAUUGCCGUUCAAAACCUGAAGACAUGCUCAGUCUCCUUUUAUCUCUGUUUUGGAAGAAUGUGAGCCUGGUGUAUCAUUUUGGAGCAGGAGAAAGGCUGCACCCUGCUAAGACAACGAAGAUGUUUUUGACGCUUAGAGUUAAUGAUAUCAUAGAGGGUAAAUGUAGGAUGAGGAGCUCUAAUAUAAUAAUAAUAAUAAUAAUAAUAAUAAUAAUAAUAAUAAUAAUAAUUUAUUAUUUAUACCCCGCCCAUCUGGCUGGGUUUCCCCAGCCACUCUGGGCAGCUUCCAAAAGAAUAUUAAAAUACAUCAAACAUUAAAAGCUUCCCUAAACAGGGCUGCCUUCAGAUGUCUUCUAAAAGUCUGGUAGUUGUUCUCUUUGACAUGGGAGGGCGUUCCACAGGGAGGGUGCCACCACCGAGAAGGCCCUCUGCCUGGUUCCCUGUAACUUGGCUUGAAGGCCCUCGGUGCUGGACCUCAGUGUCCGGGCAGAAUGAUGGAGGUGGAGACGCUCCUUCAGGUAUACUGGGCCAAGGCCGUUUAGGGCUUUAAAGGUCAGCACCAACACUUUGAAUUGUGCUCGGAAACGUACUGGGAGCCAAUGUAGGUCUUUCAAGACCGGUGUUAUAUGGUCUUGGCGGCCGCUCCCAGUCACCAGUCUGGCUGCUGCAUUCUGGAUUAGUUGUAGUUUCUCCUGGGCAUAGUCGGCCAAAUGGUGCCAAAGAAGGACAGAACUUUCUUUAUGUAUGCCACAACAGCAGCAAGAAUUCUUAUUGCAAAGUACUGGAAGACACAAGAUUUACCCACUCUGGAAGAAUGGCAGAUGAAGGUGAUGGACUAUAUGGAACUGGCGGAAAUGACUGGCAGAAUCUGAGACCAGGGAGAAGAGUUGGUGGAAGAAGAUUGGAAGAAAUUUAAAGACUAUCUACAGAAAUACUGCAAAAUUAAUGAAUGUUAGAAUGAUGUUGGAUUGAAGUUAAAUGGUUUCUAGCAGCAAUGUUAUAAAGGAAUAUGUAAAAGUGGAUUCUUAACAGGUGAUAAUAUAAAGUUACAAUAUAUUAAGAUAAAAGAUUAAGAUAGAAUCAAAGAGGGAAAGGAUUUGCUGAAUUAACUAAUUCGAACUGGAAUACAAAAAAGGGAGGUGCGAGGAGGUUGGGGAAACAAGCAAAGGAAAGUUAAGAUAUGGAAAGACUAAUCUGUUUUUUUAACUGUUUUUAUUUUGUAUUUUCAUUUUCUAUUUUUUCCCUCUUUCUUUCUUUCUUUUUUCGCUUAUUUUUGUAUUAUGUUGAAACUUUAAUAAAUAUCUUAUAAAAAAAGGAAAAAAAAAAGUUGUAGUUUCCGGGUCACCUUCAAAGGUAGCCCCACGUAGAGCGCAUUGCAGUAGUCCAAGCGGGAGAUAACCAGAGCAUGCACCACUCUGGCGAGGCAGUCCGCGGGCAGAUAGGGUCUCAGCCUACGUACCAGAUGGAGCUGGUACACAGCUGCCCUGGACACGGAUUUAACCUGUGCCUCCAUGGACAACUGUGAGUCCAAAAUGACUCCCAGGCUGCACACCUGGUCCUUCAGGGGCACAGUUACCCCAUUCAGGACCAGGGAAUCCUCCACACCUGCCCGCCUCCUGUCCCCCAGAAACAGUACUUCUGUCUUGUCAGGAUUCAAUCUCAAUCUGUUUGCCGCCAUCCAUCCUCCAACCGCCUCCAGACACUCACACAGGACCAUCACCGCCUUCACUGGUUCUGAUUUGAAAGAGAGGUAGAGCUGGGUAUCAUCCGCAUACUGAUGAACACCCAGCCCAAACCCCCUGAUGAUCUCUCCCAGCGGCUGCAUGUAGAUGUUGAAAAGCAUGGGGAAGAGGACAGAACCCUUAGGCACCCCACAAGUGAGAGCCCAGGGGUCUGAACACUCAUCCCCCCCCACCACUUUCUGAACACAGCCCAGGAGGAAGGAGCGGAACCACUGUAUGACAGUGCCCCCAGCUCCCAGCCCCUCAAGGCGGUCCAGAAGGAUGUUAUGGUUGAUGGUAUCAAAGGCCGCUGAGAGAUCCAGCAGAACUAGGAAACAGCUCUCACCUUUGUCCCUAGCCCGCCGGAGAUCAUCAACCAGUGCGACCAAGGCAGUUUCAGUCCCGUGAUGAGGCCUGAAUCCCGACUGGAAGGGAUCCAAAUGGUCCGCUUCUUCCAGGCAUCUCCUCUGAAGAUUAGUGUGCGGGGUGAGAAUUUGAAAUUCAUGGGGUGGGGAUUGGCUUAAAUUACUUAGGAUGUAUCUGAGUUGGUAGCAUUUGCUAUUUUCAGGUGGAAUCCAGUUCCAUGCUGGGAAUUUCAUAUUGCACAAUUAUAGAUUAUUAAGAGGUCUUGUGCAAGAAACCCACAUCCACAAAAUCUCAGACUUUUUGUGAUAAGGAGAGGAUGGUGGCAAUUCACUGUAAAGUGUGGGAUAACACAUGUUUUGACAUGGUGUCAUCUUACCUCCCCAAAAACAAAUGAGACCAAAAGAUAAUUAAAUAGCCAAUAUCAUCUCAUCUCCCUGCAAACAUAUGGAGCAAUGUUGUCUGUAUUAUGGAUGUGACCCUCUCUUGUCGCUCUCAGCCUAACUAGAAUUUAGAUAAGGUCUCUUAAGGAGCAGGCAUGAUGGAAUUGGGAGAGGAAGGUAACUUAGACCUAAGCCAUAUAGUAAGUGCUACGUAUUUUGUGAUUUUAAUAUAUUACCCUGUUCCUCUGGGAUGGGGUGGACUGAAACUCAAACUGAUGCACAUGAAACUGUCCCAAAUGACUAUUAAAAAUCAUAUUUUGACUGAGAACAUCUGUUGUUAUACAUAAAUGUACAGCACUUAUUACUGUUGUCCCAGUUGGUUGGGGAAAAAUUAGUUGUACAUCCCAAUGUGGCAGUUAGAAAUCCCUGUGGGGAGAGGAGAGUUAAUUUGGGCUGUUUAUACUGACAGAAUAGACGAGCAUAUUCCAAGAAAGCUAAAUGGCCUUUGAUGCUUCCAACAACACGUUGGGUAGUUCACAUGCCUCUGGUGGAGCAGCCAAUGUCAGAAAUGCUGGCUUCCAGUUAUAGAUAGGGAAGGGCCCUCCUCAUGGGCAUGGACUUUGAUAUAGAAGGUGAUUUUGUUAAGGGCAAUGCUGGGUGGGUAAAUACCACACAACAGAAGAUGGAUUGAGAACUGUCAUUUGUCAUAGCACUUACGUAAGUUUUCUUGUUGCAGAACUGCAGCAGAAUGUCUAAGGGUGAUGGAUGUCUUAGCAAAAAACAACAACCAAUCUUGGCUGUGAGUCCUGGAAGACCUGCUGUUGUUUAUGUUAAUUUUUUGGAUCUUUCUUUUGGAUCUUCUGAUUUAUGUGGUUUGGUUGUGUACAAUUCGAUGGUUUAUUUCUUGUUUAUUACUACUUUUGUUAUGUUUGUAGUUUUGCAAUUUUUAAAAUAUGUUGUAAGCUGACUUGGGCAUGGUUUUAACUUUGGAAAGGUGGCAUACAAAUAAAAUGAUUGAUGAUUAAUAGGGACAAAACAUGCUUACUAGAGGAAAUUCAUUACGUUCAAGGGAUAAUAGCUGGAUGAGAGGUGUCACCUGCAUUAGAUUUUUGCAUUUGUUCUGGGAGAUUAAUUAGGCAUGCAUUAAAUGUCAUGGCCCAUGUGAAGGUCUAAGUUUUAGGUCACUGUAGGGAAAUCCCCCUAUACAACCACCAAUAUGGUGGGAUGCUGUGAGGGUUGGCAGGAACUUCAGGGACUUUCCCUGAAUAUAUGAUACAUAGCUUCCUCUGAUUAUUCAUGCAAUCUUGGCUCAGAGGAAAUCCAGACCUAUCAUCUCAGGGCAUGUGCAGACAUCCAGCCAAACUGAGCUGCUUGAGAACAGCAGGCUGCCCAUGAAGGAUAUAUGAAUGGUGGAUCAGGAAAUGUAAGGGAGUUUUCAAGUGUGAAACUUAAAGGGUUACACAACAUUGUUACCAGUUUGCAAACAAACAAUGCACACACAGCAACAAUGUACAUUCAUUACAUGCACAUGUGUGUGUAUAUCUGAAUUGCCCGUGCACAUGCACACACACAUGCACACAUACACAGAGUGGUAGAAUGUUUGUUCCUCUUUGAAAAUGCUAAUUUAAAACUUUGCUGCACGCUUUAAGUAUAAACUGGCUUGACAGUAGUUGCACCAUCUGGUAGCCCUUCAGGGAUUUUCUUUUCCUUUUUUAUUUAAAUAUGCACUACCAAAUACUGGAAGAAGCAAAUCAGAUGGAAAUGCAAUAAAAGGCAAUUCAAAACAAUGUGAUCUCUUUAUCAAAUAUGGCAAAAAUUAGAAGACAAACAUCUCCAGGGCACAACAGUAAAUGAACCAUAACUGGAACAGAAAAAGAUAGAAUUUAAACUCACUACUGAAUAUUACUGAAUUUAAACUUGGUAUAAAUAUGUUGCUAAAGCUGCAAACAAUGUCUGGUUUCAUUACAACUAGAAAUGUGUGUUGUUUUACAGUUAGUAUGGAAGCAGACCCUCUUGAACAAUCUUCCUUAAACUCAUUAUUCUCUGUUAGCAUCAUAUUUAUUACAGGAACAUUCUCAGAUGUCCUCUUUCUCACAUUCAGGGCCCUGUGGUAUGUUUACGCUGUUCUCUGUUUAGUCCGUUUUCCAGCUGUUUUAUAUGCGAAGCCCCCAGUGAAUUUAGAAGCCCUACUUAUUACUUGAAAAUCCAUCAGCAUGUAAUUUAUUGAGAAAUAAAUUUUGUAAUAAUUAAGAGCAGAAUUAUUAACAGAACGCCAAAUGCAGGUGACCUGGAUUACUUUUAAAUACACAGUUGGAAAACAAUAAGCAUGAUUAACAAAAGGAUAUUAGCUUGUAAAUAUUUCUCAGAUAGCUUUAUAAACUUAGGUUCCAGGUCCUAGAAUCUUCCUUUCUCUUCCCAUGCCCUCAUUGCAUCCUUCUCAGGGGUAACACUUGGAAUGCUAAGACUGUUAAAGGCAAAAUGACAUAUUGUACUUCACUGGGUUUUAGUAACAGACAAGAUGCAAUCAUUCUGUUUAGUGAUAUGCUUCUUCUAAAGAAGACUAUGACGCUCAGAAGUGUCACAUUUUAAAUCUAGGGACUUGGCGUUAAUGCCAUAUUGUAUCUGUACCUGUAUCAGUGUUAGUUUCAAGAUUCAGUACUCUGAUCAUCAAUUCUUUAAGCACUGCUGAGGAGUGUUCCAUAUCUUUCCAUAGACUUUAUCACAGAAUCAUAGAAUUGUAGAGUUGGAAGGAACAACGAGGACUGUCUAGUCCAACCACCUGCAAUGCAGGAAUCUUUCACUCAACCUGGGGCUUGAACCCAUGACCUUGAAAUUAAGAGUCUCAUGCUGUAAUGCAUGAGCUAUUGCAGUUCAAACCAUAUGACACACAGCAGCAAGUGCAAUUCAUUUGCUGCGUCCUAAACAGACAUUGAUUUACAAAGUGCAACUGAGAGUGCUGCUGAGUUGGGUGGGGGCUUUUGAGUGCAUAAGCGAGGAAACCUUGGAUAACUGAAGUUGCAAAAGAGACUCCUUCAUGACAAUUAGCAAUUGUCACAUUGGGAGCCCUAAUGGCAGUUGGCACCUUGAAUUCACUAUGUAUUCAGAUGAACACGAUUAUCCAGAGCUCUGUGUUAAAAUCAGACGUAUUGUGUUGCUGCUGGUACAAUCGUUGGCAUCUCAACUUAAAGCGGGGAUGGGGCAGCUGUGAUUUCACAGAUCUUGCUGGACCACAACCCCCAGCAACACUGAUUGUUGGCCAUACUGGCUGGGGCUGAGUCCAACAACAUCCAGAAAGUGACAUGUUCCCUAUCCCUGAAAUCAAAGGCUCUUCAGACUUGCUCUCUGCAACCUUCCUUGAAGGGGAAAGCCCCUUGGUGAUAGGAGGCAGCAUCAGAGGUGGUUCCAUGGUAGUAGUAGUAGUAGUAGUAGUAGUAGUAAUAAUAAUUUAUUAUUUAUACCCCGUCCAUCUGGCAGGGUUUCCCCAGCCACUCUGGGCGGCUUCCAACAAAACACUAAAAUACAAUAACCUAUGAAACAUUAAAAGCUUCCCUAAACAGGGCUGCCUUCAGAUGUCUUCUAAAAGUUUGGUAGUUAUUUUUCUCUUUGACAUCUGGUGGGAGGGCGUUCCACAGGGCAGGUGCCACUACCAAGAAGGCCCUCUGCCUGGUUCCCUGUAACUUGACUUCUCACAGUGAGGGAACCGCCAGAAGGCCCUCGGCGCAAGAUGAUGAUGGAGGUGGAGAUGCUCCCUCAGGUAUACUGGACCGAGGCCAUUUAGGGCUUUAAAGGUCAGCACCAACACUUUGAAUUGUGCUUGGAAACGUACUGGGAGCCAGUGUAGGUCUUUCAAGACUGGUGUUAUGUGGUCUCAGCGGCCGCUGCCAGUCACCAGUCUAGCUUCCGUAUUGGUUGAAAGCAUUGGACUAGGGUGUCAGGUGUCAUAGGGUUGGGGCUCUUUUUUGACAGCCCAUUUGGUCCUUCCUGGGAUCCAGAUCUCCAGUCCCCAGCCAGCUGAGUCUCUCUUGCAGUCUCAAUUCCACCUCCCCUCCCUUGUUGGGACCUGCCCCUUGCUGUCCCCUUGUUGUUGUUCUUGGCAAAUCCUCUGUUCACUCUGGUGCCCUGUGAGAAUAGGACACGCACUAGGAUGGUGUUGCCAAUACAAAGGCACUGUCUCCUAAGUGUUCUGUAGUUUCCAGUGCCUACACAUAGCCAUGGUUUGUCAUUGACUUGCUGCAGGGCCUAGUUUGGGAUUAAUGAAGUGAUCCUUCAUCUCAUUUACUACAUUGAGCCAACAUUCCAGUGUGUCUAUGGAAUUACUUUUGCAUGUCCUACCAUUUUUUGUUUUGCCUUGUUUUUACAGUUUGCCUUCUUAUUUUCAUUUGUCUAUUCUAUAUAUCAUCAUUACUACAAUCUCUUUAUUAGUGUGUUAAUCCUUUGGUCUUCCAGUUUCAGGUCUACAUGUUACCAUUAAUUUUAAACACACAAAUGUCUCCAGGUGGCAUUUCCACUACUAGUGGCUGCCUUAAUUUACACUUUAAAAGCCUUUUAAAAAAAACAACCCUUUCCUCCUGUUGGUAAUCAUUUACAAUUGGAAUCUUGUACUAAUGACUCCAGACUUCAAAAUCCUUUUUUCCUUUUGCUUAAGCCAUUUGCAAGCUUGAAAGGAUCAGAGAAAUGUGUGUGAGAAGCUCUUGAUUGCAUUAGAGGGCCAAGGCAUUGCUCUUUCUGCAAAAAGCAAAUGACCUGAUCACUGCAUCUCACAUAUGUUUUGGUUCAGCAUAAAAAAGAAAAUGAGAUAAUACAAUAAGAACAGUACUUGAUCACUUGCUACAGAAGCACAUUGCCAUUUGAUUCUAUUGUUUCCUCUACCUAUGAAGUAAAAAUUGCCUAUUGAAACCCAAGUAAGGUUUUUAAUUGGAGGGCUGCUUCACCUUUAAGAGUUGCAGAAAUGCAGCUCCAUACAAGUGAAGGGUUCACAUUAUAUUUUUGCUAACCAUGCAGAUUUUUUCAUCUUAUCAGUGCAACAGAAAUGCAGAUACUCAUGUACACACGUUUAUAUUAGUUUUUUGGGGGAACCCCCCUAAACCCUAGAAAUUAAUAAAUGGCAAGAUAUUUGGGGUGAGAAGGGAUAAAUACCAGCUGCAGAGGAAUUCCUGAGCUAGCCUAUGCAAAAUGACCUGGCCAACCUAGGACCAUUAAGAAACAAUAUGGCACCAUUGAGAACCAUUGGCAGUGCAGGAGAACUGUCCUUCCCCCUUGCCCUAAGGUAUGAACAGAGUCUGGGGGGUUGGAAGCUUGCCAGGGUAACUAGGUGUGAGGUGCCACAAAGAGUAUUUUAGCAAGGUGUUCUGGUAAGAAGAACAAGGAAGAAAGACUGGGAUCCAUCUUGGGCAGGAUGGCUGCUUGCUGGCUGGGGGAGAUGACUUGGAUUCCAGGGCUACACUGCUGUGGAGUACAAGCCCCUCUUGAAAAGACUGUCCUGUAAGAUCUGGACUCCCUCCAUACAGACUGAAGCUGUAAAUAAAUGAAUAAAUUAUAUUUCUUAAAGCUACGGCAGUCUCUGUCAUGUCUCAAUUCUCCAAAGCAGGCAUAGGCAAACACGGCCCUCCAGAUGUUUUGGGACUACAACUCCCAUCAUCUCUAGCCAACAGGACCAGUGGUCAUUUGGGAGUUGUAGUCCCAAAACAUCUGGAGGGCUGAGUUUGCCUAUGCCUGCUCCAAAGGAACACAAAUCCUGGGUGAGUGCCUGGAACCCCAUGGGCUCUUGCCACUGCUAGGCAGAGAGAGGGGGAGACACCCAACUUUUAUAACAAUAUAAUCAUCAGAUCUGUAUGGCAAAUCAAUGGCUAACCAAAUGGAGGGGCGUCUCCUGAUAGAAAUUCUAAAACAACAGCAGGAAGAUGGUCAAUCACAUAGUUGAUAGGCUUCACAAGUUUGUCCUCAGAAAAAUAUACCCACUGAACACUUUUAAAGUUAAUACAAAGGGUAAUGCAAAACAUCAUUUAUUUGUUAAAACUAUUUCUGUACCACCUGUCAUGUAAAAACAACACAAGGCAGUGGAGAAAAAUAGAUUCAAAAUUAGGUGAAACCUUAUUUAUCAAAUAAAUAAGGUAAUUUUUAAUUGAAAAUAAUAUUUCUUUUUACUGACUGCUCCCAUAUGUAGCCCUCUGUCAUGCCAAAAGAUUUUUGUGUCUCCAGCAACGCCCCCCACAUUUGUCCUUGACAAUGCGUCACAACCAUAUUUUCACUCUGACCCUGCCCACUUGUAUUUAGUGGGGUUGCCAUACGUCUGGAACAUAGCUGGCAAUUGGCCAUCAGAAGCAGUGUCCAGGUGGAAAUCGCUGAAAUGUCCAGGAAAAUCAGGAUGUAUGGCAACACAAGUUGAGGUUUUUCCUAGGUUUUGCAAAAAACGAAAAAAAAACCUCCUAUAUUUAGCCACACCUACCUUGACAUGUAGUCCUCUCUGCCCAAGAAACAUCACCACCUCUGAUGUAUACAGUAGGCAGUAUAUGUUCUAGCAGAAUCAAAAGUUAAGCUUAGCCAUUUUGGGGAUUUAUACACACAUACAUAUGGGAAGCAGGGAAGCUGAUAUAUAUUUUAUACUUCUCUGCCCCCUCCAAGUGGCUAAUAGCAGAUUGGGGGGAGAGGACGAUUUAAAUUGGGGGGAAAGAUUGGGAUGAAAGGCUGAAUCACUUCUCCCCAAUGCCAUGACUCUGAUUCAGUUUGCCUUUAAGUCCAAAAAAGAAAAAAGAAGAUCAAAGCCAUUAACUGACCUGUGAUCAGAUUUUCUAUGUUAUGCCUAGGCUGGCCCAACUGCAAGAAGAAAUAAUCAUGUUUUAUGUCUGCAGUGUGAAACCACAAGCCAGGUGAGAUUUUUACCUUGAACUUGUCUGCUCUGUAGUGAUGUUACUUCUGGGGAAAAGCAAGCAGUAGAUUUCAUCUACGGGUGUGUAGCAGUGCAUGAGAAACUUCUGCAGUUUACUUUACGCACCAGUGUUGUCAAUUGCACUUAUUCCGAUUAUUCCGUUUCAAUGAGACAGACAUAUCAUUCAAAUAUACAGCUAUGUGUGCUGAAGUAUGGCAGCCAUAACGUUCAUGUUGCUUCAGCUGGGUUUGAGGUGCUAUGUUGUUUUUUUGUGGAAACAGUGCAGUGUAUUGUGUGCAUAUUUUGACCUUGCUCCAAAGCCUGUUUACUCAUAAGAAAGUGCCAUUGAUAUCAGCAGGACCUACUUAAAGUAAAUAUCUCCUUGGGUGCAGCUCAUGAGGCUCUGGAGAUAUGAAUUCAUUUAAAGUAGCUAGGUGUUCCCUCACUGCCUCUUGGGCUGCAGCUCCCUCUGUGCAUCAUUUAUUCUGUUAUCGCCAGGUUGAACACUGCUUUUGUUUUGGGUGAAGACACAGGCAAAGCAGAAGUGGAGCAGUUCUUCCUUCUCUCUGUCACCCAAUAGCAUUUAUCCAUCUUCUCCACACGGAGGACCUACUGUUUGUCCUUCCUCUUGCUUCAAACAUAGCUGAAGAAACCUUUUAGGAAUUACCGCAUUUUUCGCUCUAUAAGACACACUUUUCCCCCUUCAAAAAUUAAGGGGAAAUGUGUGUGCGUCUUAUGGAGCGAAUGCAGGCUCCUUGGCUUCAGCGAUAGCAACGCGAAGCCUCCUAAGCGCAGAGGGAGAGCUCCCCCCGCGCUCCGGAGGCUUCGCGUUGCUUUCGCUGAAGCCGCCUGAAGCCCCCGGAGUGCAGCGUGAACUCCCACUGUACUCUGGGGGCUUCAGGCAGCUAUCCGCAAGCCUUCGGAGCGCAGCAGGAGUUCCCGCUGUGCUCCAAAGACUUGCGGAUAGCCGCCUGAAGCCUGGAGAGCGAGAGGGGUUGGUGCACACCGAUCCCUCUUCUUCUCCAGGCUUUGCUUCGCUGGAGAGGCGCUGCACAGUUUUCCCUCUCUGCGCAGCGCCCCUUCAGCAAAGUGGGAGGAGAAAUGGAAGGGGCUCUGUUUCUCCUGCCGCUUCACUGCAGGGGCGCUGAGCAGAGAGGGGGAGAAUUCCCCCCCCCUGUUCUCCCCCUCCUAUGGUCCAGUGUGUCCUAUAGAGCGAAAAAUACGGUAUUUUUAAACUCUCACCAUUCUGAGCUCAUGCUGAACUUUGGUCCGCCUAACCUUCUCCAUGCAAUUGUUGACUACUUCUGUAACCAUAAGCUUAAAAUACAAUGAAAAGAAACUUUCCCCUAAGAGUUGAAUCCUGGCCAAGUUGAUAGAUUGAAAGCUAAAGAGUACCAGAGCCUACCAAAAUUCCUCUUUGAUCAUUACUAUGGAGAGGAACAGAAAGCUCUGCAAUUUCAUUUUCCUGAUCCUCUUCCAGUUGUUGGUUACGGAGAAAGCUGCCACAUCUAAUUUUGUUUGUGUAGUCCUUCCAUUUGCAUGAAAGGAGAUAAUGUAAACGAAGAGGAGGGGAAAACACUCCGGAGGAUGACAAGUUCAGAUUACUAGCAGAAGCGAGCCAAUUUGCUAUUCAUUAAAUGCUAAUGAACUCAGCACCCAUGUUUUAUUUGUUGUACCUCGCUUCAGACUAUGAUGGUCAUGAAUCACAGUCAAAGUCCAUGAUAAACAAACAUGUCAAAACAAGGCUUCCUUAUAGCACAAUGUGUCAGUCUUCAAAUUCCAGGGAGCAGAGAGAGCCACGACCUUGGAACCCAUUGUGAUGUUACCCAUAGCUGCUCUUUUUAGGAGACUACUGUGGCACAAUUUGCCUAAAAUGGGAAUAAAUGAGGAGGGUG